AUUUCAAAAUCACUUCAGUAUUGAGGUUCCGUAUAACCAGUUUACCAAACUUGAUAAGGGAAAAAUUGUCUAGUCACACUUGCAGGCAUAACCUGACGCAAUUGAAGGAGCUAAGACCGCUCCAAAAUAAGGUAAACAUAAAUAACUAGCCUUCCCUAAGAGUUUCACAUCAGUUCGAGCCUUUCAGAGGACUCAAAGACUUCAAACCUGCUAGACACAUCUUAGCACCAAAUUGACAUAUACCAAAAUGAAGGUCAUAACACCAAUUUAUUCCACAUGUCCAAAAUUCCUCCCCUCACAUGCUAUAUGGAAGGACAAUGGCUCGCAUUGGAACAUUUGGAUAUAAGUCCUAGUCUUACUCAUACAUGGGCCACGAAAAGAGAGGAGAGGCGCGGUGAAAACCUUCACUACUACGAUAUGAAAGGAGGAUAACUUUACCUUUGCUUGAUAUUCAAAUGGCAAACAUGCUUGACCACCCUAGGCCUAGGUUAUAAUAGAAUUUAGUGGUAACCAAGGAAUGUUGAACCAGCCCGUACCGGCCGGUUCAGCCCGCACCGAACCGGUCCGGUCGUUGACCGGUCCGGCUCGGCAUUAAAAAACAGUACCGGCCCGUACCGGCUAGGCCAAAUUUUUUUGGACUUUUGGAUGCGUGAACCAGGCCGAACCAGUGGUACCAGUUCGGUACCGGUUCGAGCCAGUCCGAUGGCUGGCCGGUACGCCUACCGGUACCGGUUCAGCGAUUCUUGGUAGUAACAAGUUCAAUGUGACUCAAAAAACCAUAUAUAACAAAACUAGACGGCAAUAAUAAGUUAAUAACUAUUAAUAAGAUGCUGAAAUUAUGAAACAUGAAAACUUGAGAAGCAAGUAUUGGUGUAUCUGUCAAUCCACUGGUGGCAAGAAGAGUCCAAUAAUCAUGAAUUAGGCUCUACCCAUCAUUUUCUCUCACAUCCAUGAGAGUCAGCAUGUCAUCUGCCACAUAUAUUUUGAAAAUUACACAACUAAUUUCUAUAACAUUACUAACAUGUAAGUUUGUCAAAUGAUUAAAAGUUUCUCAAGAUAAUUGAAGUCUAAAAUCUCAGCUGGCAUGGAUGAUCUGAAACGACAUGAAUGUUGAUACUCUCAAUUAAAUCUGAUAGAUUGGAGUCCAAUUUGGCCAGUUCAGACUGUUCUUCCAACCUAAGCUAACACAUAAGGUUAAAAACCUCAUUUUAAGGUUUCAUCCUGAUUUCAUUUAGUCGAUCGCACUCUAAGUAUUAAUUCAAGCCUUAAGGAAGCUUUUUUAUAUGAUUAAAUUCGAACUUUUGAUUUUUGAGUGGAUAAAAAGCACAUAAGCAUUAUGUUAUGAAAAUUUAAGAGAAAUUUUAAUUUCUUAAAAAAUGUAAAUUAUAUACAUGUUUUAAUUUUAUAUCAACUAACCAAGACAGUUGGAAGGGUUUUAGGUGACAAUUCAUUGUGCCAACAUGGACCAACAUACACCAUGCCAGGCUAGUGUUAACACUAGGCACAGGGUGCGAAAUUGUGAAUGCUUUUACAGUUCAUACCAAGCAAAGUUGAUGGAACUUUAACUGUACUAUACAAGUGUCAAGCAAAAGCACAAGUUGUAAAAGUUUAUUAUAGUGAAGGACAAUAAAAUCAUGAGAGCAGAAAUACCACUAGUCACAAGAACAUAACAAUUGCCAGUAUAGUUAAUAUAUUGGAAAGUAUUUAGUAGGAAAUAGCUGCUUUCUUUUUAGGUGGUAUAAAGGACAAACAUACCUUCCAUACAGAGAGAACAAAGAAAAACAAUGGAUCAACAAAUAUUGCGAUCAAGCAGGAGAUAACAAAGAACUUGUUCCACUGCUGAACAACCUUCGUAUGCGGAUUCAUGAUUGGAAGAUAUGAACUUAGACAUGAAAUUGAUUUCUUUGCCCAUCCAUCAGCUUCCCCAUAAAGAAUGUUACGGAGCUGCAUACAUUGACAAAAAAAACAAAAAUGUACUUCAAAGAAAGUAUAUGACAAAUGCAUACAACACUUUGUUAAUGUGAUUAUAUAAAGCCUAUAGACAGCAUGACUAGGAAUUUAUUGAAUAAUUGAAUUUAAAACAAUUAUAUGAUUUCCAAAGGUGCAAGCAUAUCUACAAAAUAAUAAUAUAUAUAUAUAUAUAUAUAUAUAUAUAUAUAAGUAUAUGUUUAACAUUCAAUGUAAAAUUAUCUAUUGAAAGCCAAUGGUUCCACAAAAUAAUGAUUACAAUAGUAAAUCUGCAUUAAGCUACAACAUUUGAAAAUUAACCCGACAAAUGACAAAUAUGCCACAAGCAUAGUUAGCAGAACUGAACUAAACAUUGAUCCUACCAAGGAGUUGAGUCAUUUGGUCACUGGUCACAUAGUGGAUCAACCUCAGCUCGCAGACAUUAAAAAAUUUGAAUAAUUAAAAUUAGUUACAAUACUUAGAUAUAAUAUGAGAGCAGGCCUUGGAGCAAUGGUAAGAGUUCUAUACUAUGACUUCGGUGUCACUAGUUUGAAACAUAGAAAUAGCCUCUCCACACGCAAGGGUAAGGCUAUGUACAUCUGACCCUCCCCAAACUCCAUAGUGGUAGGAGGCUAGGAGCCUUGUGCACUAGGAAACCUUUUUUCUUAGAUAUUAUGUGAGAUAUAUACAUAAAAAGUAUUUGAUAUUUUUUUAUUUUAAAUACUAAAAAUUUGAAACCAUCAAAAAGAUUGGAAUGAUUACAUUUAAUUCUUUUUUGAUCAAAAGAUAAAAAAAAAUUGAUAAUUGACCAAAGGAACACAAUGUACCGACACAUUCUAUAGUUCACAAGGUCCAGCAUGUUAUUUAGCUUGUAUUGACAGAUACAUAAGUUUAUUAUAAGUUAUAUCAUGAUAUAAAACAAACUCAUUCUGUGUCUCGUUGGUUAUGAGAGUAGUUACAUUAAUAAGUAAUCAAGGCUUCAAACCUCAUGCCGAAAAAGGGUUCAAACGUCCCCUCCCAACAUAUACUGUGAGAUUUUCUGUGGAAAAAAAUGGAGUACCCUGGUUACUUGAAUCCAAUAGAUCAAGCCAGUUGAGCAAAACCUGAGCAGAUCUAGCAGGUUUCAGUGGUUCAAACGCAGGUCAGUUACAGAACCGAACUGGACCCUAGGCCCGGAUCGCUGGAUUUCUGGCCCAACUACUAGAUCUAGUCUAUUUAUGAUAAUUAUGGCCUUAAGUCCUACAAAUUGCAUCACUGUCUAGUGUCUAUCAUAAUAACAUGUACUUGUAUCAUUCUCACAUUUCCUUAAAAUGCAACAUUGUUGUGUUAUCUCAGUUCCACAAAUCACUUCCUCCCACAGGCAGUUUGAGUAGUAAUUUUCACACUCUCAAUUUUUGAAAAUUGAAACAUUGAUUUGCUGCCAACAGAAAUGUUGUUGCAUACAACCAACAGUCUUCAAAAAGUCACCAAUGUUGCUAGUCAUAACAGUUGAUGAAGACAAUUGGAUGCUAUAAACAAAAGAACAAGAUUAGCCUUGAUUUCUCCAUUGCCAAACAGUCCACAGCUUUCACUAGAUUGGUUCCUUGGUUUGUUUUAUUCUUCCUUUCCUAUUUUUGGCUUUUAGACAAUGUCAGUUAUGGUGCUUACUUCAGGAGCAACCAUAAUGUCCCAUAUUUAUUGAAUUGCUUAAAACAAUUUCCGCUCUACUGAAACUAAAUGACUUGAUAUGGCAUGUUUCCUUUAUUCAAAAGAAACCAAAAGAAAAACUAAGUUUGAGCUAUUAUGCUUGAUAUACAUAGUUGUCCUAUUCCUUGCGAGCUUAAGGCAGUCAAAUGGUUAGCUAAGAGCCUAAGACGGUAUCAAAGCCGUGGUCAUGGAUUAAAAUCCCGUCCAUGAGGAUUGUUCAUUCAAUCUAGCUGCCAUCUCUACUUGUCUCAUGUCUCGAUUCAUUUACAUCUCCAUGUGCAUAAUCUCGACUCCACUUGAAUGGGGACUUUGGCCUGAUAUAAAUUGUUGUCCCAUUCCCUAACAUGGUUUUAACUCUUGUAUCGUGUCAUAUACCAUACCUUACCAGUAUGGUACGGGUCAGUAUAGUAUGGCCCCAUACCAAAACAUGGUAAAGUGCUGGAGUUGCUACAAUACCAAUACCAUGUCAAUGUAGAUGUAUGCCAAGCCCUAAUACCAUACCAAUAUGAUACCAAGUCAAUACAAUAUGCCCCAUACCGGCCUGUAUGGGUCAUUACUUAAAACCUUGCUUAACAGCUUAAGCUUUUAGAGUCAAGUGCUUAGUUAAUGAGCUUCAACUACAUUGUACUAGGAUGCAGUAAAUAAAGCAUCCUCAUGUAAUCCUCGAACCAAUAUCAUCUAACUUCAAGUUGAUGUAGUAUUUGUAGUGGACAUUGUUGAAGUAAGAGGUAUGGAAUUUUGCUUUAAGGAGCUUCAAAAUCUUUAACCACAAAGGCAUCAUUACUUAGACUUUGUGAAGCCUCUACAUAUGGAUAUGUUCCCACCACGGUAAGGUUCGCCGUACCAAUAUCGGAUCCCGUAUCGGUGCCACACUGGUAUAGUGUCAGUACGGUACGGAAUUUUUUUGGCAUACCGAGAGUCGGUACGCCACCCGUACCGGUAUGGAUACCGAACCGGUACAGUACGGUACACCCGGUACCGUCAGGUAUGGUACGGCAUACCAUGCACCACACCAAUAUGCCUAAAAUUUUAUCAUAAUCAACAUAACUUUCUAGUAUUUUAAAACCAACAUGCAUAUUAAGGAAACUCUCUACGUAAGCAACCGAAUCAUAAAUUUCAUGGAGCUAGAGCUACCUGUUGAAUUUUGAAUUAUUUUAAUGCAUAUUAAAAAUUUUGUCUCUCUGUGAAGAUGAUCUCUCAGGUUCCUUGCAAACAAAACUCAUCUUAGGGACAAGGCAAAUAUUAAUUCCAAAGAUGAAAGGCUGUGUGAUAACCACUAAUGGACUUUAUUGAUUAUUUUGCCAUCUUUCAAUAACAUUGUGAAGGUAAUUGAACUCGUCUUUUGUAAGCAAGUUGUCUCCUUGCAUCUACAAUUGAUGGGAUCAGUGGCUAUCGNNNNNNNNNNNNNNNNNNNNNNNNNNNNNNNNNNNNNNNNNNNNNNNNNNNNNNNNNNNNNNNNNNNNNNNNNNNNNNNNNNNNNNNNNNNNNNNNNNNNNNNNNNNNNNNNNNNNNNNNNNNNNNNNNNNNNNNNNNNNNNNNNNNNNNNNNNNNNNNNNNNNNNNNNNNNNNNNNNNNNNNNNNNNNNNNNNNNNNNNNNNNNNNNNNNNNNNNNNNNNNNNNNNNNNNNNNNNNNNNNNNNNNNNNNNNNNNNNNNNNNNNNNNNNNNNNNNNNNNNNNNNNNNNNNNNNNNNNNNNNNNNNNNNNNNNNNNNNNNNNNNNNNNNNNNNNNNNNNNNNNNNNNNNNNNNNNNNNNNNNNNNNNNNNNNNNNNNNNNNNNNNNNNNNNNNNNNNNNNNNNNNNNNNNNNNNNNNNNNNNNNNNNNNNNNNNNNNNNNNNNNNNNNNNNNNNNNNNNNNNNNNNNNNNNNNNNNNNNNNNNNNNNNNNNNNNNNNNNNNNNNNNNNNNNNNNNNNNNNNNNNNNNNNNNNNNNNNNNNNNNNNNNNNNNNNNNNNNNNNNNNNNNNNNNNNNNNNNNNNNNNNNNNNNNNNNNNNNNNNNNNNNNNNNNNNNNNNNNNNNNNNNNNNNNNNNNNNNNNNNNNNNNNNNNNNNNNNNNNNNNNNNNNNNNNNNNNNNNNNNNNNNNNNNNNNNNNNNNNNNNNNNNNNNNNNNNNNNNNNNNNNNNNNNNNNNNNNNNNNNNNNNNNNNNNNNNNNNNNNNNNNNNNNNNNNNNNNNNNNNNNNNNNNNNNNNNNNNNNNNNNNNNNNNNNNNNNNNNNNNNNNNNNNNNNNNNNNNNNNNNNNNNNNNNNNNNNNNNNNNNNNNNNNNNNNNNNNNNNNNNNNNNNNNNNNNNNNNNNNNNNNNNNNNNNNNNNNNNNNNNNNNNNNNNNNNNNNNNNNNNNNNNNNNNNNNNNNNNNNNNNNNNNNNNNNNNNNNNNNNNNNNNNNNNNNNNNNNNNNNGAUACAUUUAAAUUUGUUCAUACAACUGUAAUAACUUUAUAAUUAAAAAUAUAAUUACACUUUGCUUUAAAUGUGCAAAUAAUAUUUAUAGUUUUAUAUAAGAAUAUAAGGGCACUUCGCUUCAAAUGUCCAAAAAACACUUAAGUAUACUUCAUUUAAAGUGUCCAGCACUUAAACUAAGUCACCUACAUGAUACUCUUAAAAAAUGCAAAUCAUUCGAUACUUUUUGCUGACAUUAGCAGAACACUUCAAACUGGAGUGUCCGACCAUGUUGUGUUGGGUCAUGCCAUGUCUGUGUCUAGAAGCGUCGAUACUCCCAUACAUCUUAGGAAUGGAGUGUCCAGAUAAUAUAGAUUACAACACUCUUCGUACAUGGGUGCAGGCAAAAACCUAAAACUCGUGUUGACUCGAAACCCUACUCUAGUUCUUUGGAGAUAUGAUUUUAGAAGGUUAACCAGUUAGACCCUUACUAACAUUUACUGAUAACAUCAUUUCCAUACGUAUGCCACACUUGUGGUAAAACCAAACUGUCAGCCUACUGCGAUGAACUUGUCGUGGCAAACGUUAGUCUCCAACACAAUUUUUCUUUAAAUUUGCCAAUCCAUCAACCAUCUUAUAAAAAAAGAGUAAAAAAGGUUGGUCUUGUAGAGGCUUAAUUCGAUGGAUCAAAUUAACAUAAAAGAAAAUAAUCGUUUGAAGAUUUGAAACCUUAAACAUCAAAGUUGAUAGACCAGGAAGCAUUAUCCACCAACCAAUAGUCACAUACAAUUUUGUAGAAUUUGUGGGAGCACUGGGAGGGCUUACAUCAGGUUAAUUACCAUCAUAUUAAUGGUGUCAAAUAGUUUCUUGAAACAUCCUUAAUUUUUGAAGUGUGCUCAAUAACCUAUCCUAUCUUGCUGGGAAGGCCCUGAUGGUUUUAGUUGCUGUUCUUGAAAAGUUUUAUGAAAGUUGCAUUUAUUUAAAUGAAACCAUAUUUCCACACAAAUUCCAACUCAAACCAUUGUGCAUGUUUUUUAUUUGUUGAAUUAAGUUAUUGAUACUUAUUUUAUAAAAUUCUUUAUUGAUUCUAAAAUAGCACUUGAUGUGAUUCACACUUGUUGUUAGCAAUAAUCCUUCACAGAUAGUUCUUAUAAUGGGAGCUUAACUUGAAUAUUAGUUAUCAUUCCAUUUAUAACAGAUAUAAAAAUUACAGCUUAUCACAACUCCUGCAUUUAGGCCAUGGUAAUGGAAAACCUACAUGCUAACAAAAGAAAAACUAAUUUAUGUUGCUGGUAGUUAUGUUCUUCAAAAACUCAUCAAUGUUCUGUCUAAAAUAGCUACCAUUCUUCCAUAGCAUGUAAAAGAUACCUUUUAAUCUCUAUAACAUACUCCAUUCAAGUGCAUAUAUAUACAACUUCCUAUUUUCAUUGAGCAUUCUCUUUCAUAUUUCAGAUAAGAAGGCAACAUCCAUCAGCAAGCUUCAUCAUGCAAAAAAGUUAAUAUGAGGUAGUUCUUGUCAUCUUCAUUUAAAACAUACUGCCAAUUACGAUUUAUAUUGUUUUCUUAGAAAGUUGGCAUUUGAAAUAAAUGUUUAACAAGUAGUUACAUGGAGCCAAGUUAUUGUAGGUUUUUGUCGCUUAUAUUUGUCUCUUUUUUGGGCACAGGUACAUAUAAAAACUCAAGUUGGCAGUAUAGACAUGCCCUGACUCUUGAGGCAUUAUUAUAAUACAGAAACGGCAUAUGUGUGUGUAUAUAUAUGUAUGUGUGUACAUGUACAUAUAAAUGCAUAUAUCUAUAUCUGUAUGUAUGUACAUCUACAUGCAUAUAUCUUAGUAAUACAUACUAGCAAUGUAAAUGUUGAGUAUUAUUCAAGUACCAUAAUGACUUCACGAGAUCAGUGAAACAAAAAACAACUAAAAAGAAGCUAAAACAAAUGUUGAUAAAGGGGAAAAACCACCUUACUAUCAAGAGAAACCGAGUUUUUAUAAUAACUCCUUUUGGUUUUAUAAGCUGCAGGACAAUCAGUGCAGUCAGGGUCAUUGCAUAACCCAAGAGGCCCCGACUUCAACAAGUGCUCAUUUUUUGUAUGAUGGUUAUUGUCUGACCAGCCAUUUUGACCCAUUACUGCUGGCAUGACUGCAUGUAUUUUAGCGUGUUGCUUGCCAUGUUUAAGCCAAGGAACCUCAUCUACCUUCUGCUUGCCACAUAAAGGACCACUUGUAGGUGCAAAUUGUGUCGUCCUUUGGAUGCGCAAAGGACCAGUAUGAGAUAUAAAAGUAUCUUCACUUUCAUAGGACACAUUUGGGGGCAUGGACAUUGAUGCACUCCUGGCAGUGAUUUUCUGUAGCUCGAUAUCUUUUGAUAGCAUGGGGAUAUGAUCUUUGUCUUGGUCAGCCAUUUAUACAAGAUGUAGACCUGCAACAGAGAGCAUAUAAAUAAUGCAUCCAAUAAACAAGAGUAGGUUAAAAUCUUAUAUGUAAAAUUGUUAUAUCUCACGUUGAAGCUUUAAGAGCAUGUCAUUCCUUUAUUGCAACUUAGUUUAUGAGCUUUGGCCUUGUUUACUGAGCCUUAUUUGUAAGAGGUGCCUAGAUGAUCAACCCCACUUAGAGGUACUUUCAUCUUUGAUUCAGUUUAUGGCGUAUAAUCUAAAUAUUGUAAUUGAAAAGGGAUUAGGACCUGGAUUACAGCCUUAGACCUCUUUCCUGUUCUCAAUUUAUUUCCAUUUGUUUUUUCUCACUUCCUCUCUCUGUUCUUUGUUCUCUCCUUUCUCCUCUUCUUUUUCUACUCAUCCUACUGUCUUGACCUGAGGCAGCAUGGAGUAAAUACCAUUGCUUAUCAAGGUUCUUAUUAUUAUUAUAUAUUGUCAGAAAACCAUUGAUAAGACAUAUACAGCCCAAGGGUCAUUGCCCUAUCUAAAUAUCGCAAACAACAUAUUACAGGGCUCAAAAGCAAUAUGAAUGUCUCACUAUUUUGAGGAAGUUUGGUAUCAUAGUAUUCUUAGGUGUUAAGGAAUUAUGAUUUCUUCAUCAGUUUUUUGGUAAAUCAACAUAUUUAUUAUUCAAUAAGGCUUUGAAAUGUGAAUCAUCUUUAAGGAUGUUAGAUUCUAUAUAAGCAAUGUUAAGGAUAAUAACAGAGACUUAUUUUCCAAUCAGCAGUAAUACUAUGAAUGUUUCCAAUCAUCAAGGUCGCUAUAGUUAAUUCAAAAGUUUUACCCAAGGCAAAGAGGAUUAUUUCAUAGAAUUAUCCUUCCGUACUAAGUAAUUUCAAGAAGACACGUAUCUUAGAUUCGAUGGCUGAUGACUUCUAAUAAUGAAAAAUAUGGCAGCAAGCAAUGACCAGGACUCUACUAAAUUAAGACAAGGGACAUAUCCAAUGUGUUUAAACACCAAUUGAUCACAAUAGUAGAAAAACUCAGAACGAGUUGAUGGUAGCAAACACACAGAAUAAUUAUAGUCACAAGUGGUGGCUAGUGAACCAAUAUGCAAGUCAAUCCAUUUGCACCAAUACCCUUCGCAUAUGAUAUUUAAAGGCAGAAAGGGAGAUUUUGAUUUAAGUUCCUUAUUUAAUUGCUAGUGAUGAGUUCUAACAUGGAAAGGAGUAGGGAAACUAUCAUGAGAUUCCUGACUUGACCGGUUAGAACCAUAAUCCAUGGUUGAUGGAGAGGGGUUUUUAAAACAAACAUUCAAACUAAAUCAACCCCAAAGAAAUCACAUGAUCAUGACUAAAGUUUAUCAUAAAUAAUAAACUUCGACUAAAAUCCAGUUAAAAAAUCAGACAUAUUCUAUUACACAGAACUCUAUACCUUCAAUGAUGUUAAUGCAACACCAAAACUAUGUUCCUAGUGUCGCCUUGAAAAUUAGUAGAUCGGAAUAUCAACUUGUAAAUAUUGACUCCACCUCCCUAAAUAGGUCCAUCAAGGCUCUCACAAAUCACUUAGAAAAAAUAUAUGUAUGAAAGACAAGGUGAGCUAUAACAAUGUUUUUUAAACCAGACCAGGCUGGCCGGUUCAACCGGUUGAAUCUAAAACUAGUCACCUGUCCAGUCAGGUGCAAAGGAUAUUUAAAAGUAGUCAAAACUUGGUUGAACCCAAGAGAACAGGACGGACUGUCAGACCGGCCGGUCCGAUAUGUUUCUCACAUGUUUGAAUUUUUUUGGGGGUUUGCUGCUCCAGUCUUGUCCUCGACCACGAUACCCCCUAAACCCCCAUAGUCGAUCUCCAAUAGCUAGUGCUACAGCCAUGGAGGCAACUGAGGGUGGCGGGGAGAAAAUGGGUGUGGCGCUAGCAACGGAAGAAGCUGCAGUGGCGGCAAAGCAAGUGGUGAUCACAGUGGACAAGGGGAGUGGCGGAGAAGGAGAGGAGGGAGGAGGCAGUGGAGCUGGAGAGGAUAGGAAGUCAGAAGCGAGCGAUGUAGCUGAGGUGGGGAGGGAGGGCGGCGACCGGCGAGGUUCCCCCGAUAAAAAUCUCUCACUCUAGGCGUGGCUACAUCACGACCUCCCUCGCUUUUUCUUAAAUUUUCUUUAUCAAAUGUUGCCAUCUCUGCCCCCUCUCUUAUCUCUUAUUAAAUCCAAGAAUAGGUGAGACAGACAGCUUAGAGACGAUGUAGCAGGAGACAAAGAGAUCUGCCAAAUGAUCAUUGAAGAUUUCAGAGGUUUCGAGCUAAUCUCUCCCCUUUUGUUCAUGAGGUGACCAUCCAUCUCCUCUUGCUCUUGGUUUAAAGGAAUCAUAUGCACCCCUGACUUUUAGAAGGGAAUAGGUGGAAUUUUUUCUAUAUAAAUUGUAGAAAACGCAUCCACUUUAAAAGAACCACAGAGAGUACUUCUCAUCGCCUGGCUAACUACCUUUUGGGAGAGUUCAUCUUAGAAAAAGAGAGAAAAGUAAGAUGACGGAGACAAUGCCAAACCACAUGCAGAUGGUGGAAGGAUGGGCGAAAGAGGUUUUUGAUCAGUAUUGUUUCCUCUCACUCUCCAUUUUAGAAAGAACAGAUUUACAAAGAGAGAGAGGAGGGGGGAGAAAUGAAUAGCUUGAACUGGGAAUUGGCAAUUCAUUGGGACCCUCCUACUCUCCCCUCCUAUGUUUCCUAUUUUUUAGAAUUUUUUGAAAAAUAAAAUAUAAUUAUGGCGUCAUAAUGACGUCUGCUGAUGUCACCGAUUGGACUGGUCUGAUCGAUAAACUUGGGAACCAAAUAACUUGCCAGUUCGCUGUCCGGUCCAAUUUUAAAACAUUGAGCUAUAAAGCUCGACAAGUAAACUUCUAUAAUGAUCAAGAAUUUAAGUAAAAAACACAUACUCUUAAAUCAUAAUACAAAUCAAAUAAUAACUGAAUAUCCAAGUGUCGAUUCAUUGAACUAAUAUGAAAUCAAAAGUUUCAAUAAGAAAACACAAUUGUAGUGGACAAGUCAAAGCACACGAUUGCUGAGAAGAGUUCAAAUAACCAAUGUCAGAUCACAAGUCAUAUAUUUUUCGAAAGUUCAUAUGAAGGUUUAUUGAAUCACUUUGAUAAUGAAAAUGCCAGAAAUUGAAGUCCUUCCGUAAAGAAGAAAGCGGUCAAACACAUUAUAUAUCAAAUUCUGAUAUUUCAUAUCGUUUCAUAUUAUCUUAUAAAGUUUCACACAUACCCUCGAGGCCACUCAUAUAUUCUCAUUGCAAAUGCAAGUGAGGCCACUUAUAUCCUCAUUGAUAAUUCUAAUGGUGCACUAAUUAUCCUGGUUGCUGGUGCAAGUUAGGCUGCUCAUAUCUCAGAAUCCUCUCAUACCACUUGGCCAUUGGCCCACAUAUACCACCUAGCCAAAUGUCUCCUUAUCAAAAUUCGCACGAGACCACUCGUACCACCUGGCUGGUGGGUUCGCUUAUAUACUUACUAGUAAUCCAGAUAAGGUCAAAAGUACCACUUACAGAUUACAUCUAUAACAUGAUCGACUAAGAGAAUAUAUAAGAAGACAUAAACAGAUAAUCCACAGCAUCCAAUUGCACCCAACCUGCAUUAUUGCAUGAAUGUGCCGUUUUAAACAACAUGAAGAAAUUAUACAGCACCGAGGAUAAAAUUCAGUACAGGAGUGCUCAUGCACGGAACAGAUAUGUUGAACCAAAGACCAACAUUUUUUUCAUUAAAAAAAAGGUGUUCUCUUUGGCAAGAGAAAGAUAUAAAGAAUCGAGAUAAAAUGGUUAAAAAAAGUUUUAGAGAAAUGAAUUUUUUGAUCGUAUUUUCUCUCAAGAAAGCAUCAUUCUGGGGAUUUUUAUUGUCUUUUGGUGUUGUGCAUCUGUUCUGAGCCUGAAUUAAACGAUACAUCUUGUUUGGAUUUUUCUUUUCUUUGGCAAGAGAAAGAUAUAAAGAAUCGAGAUAAAAUGGUUAAAAAUGUUCAACCCACAGCCGAAAUGUUGCAUCAGAAAUCCACAAAAUCCUCUAAAAAAACACUUUAAUGCCAUAAAUUAUCCAAAUAACAUGCCUAAAUCAAAGAAAAGAAAAACCCAAACAAGAUUUAUCGUCUAAUUCAGGCCCAGAACAGAUGCACUCCACCAAAAAACAAUAAAGCUCCCCAGAAUGAUGCUUUCUUGACAGAAAAUACGAUCACAGAAUUCAUUUCUCUAACCACAAGAUUCGUGGCCACAAACAGUCGAUACUCGGUACUAAGACCACCAACCUGCUAACAAUCUAAAACAAGGAUAUGUGAUGCGGGACUCUCUAUCAACUCCUUCAAUUCCCCAUCAAUCCAGAGAACACAAGAAGUAGUAGUUAGUUUUAAAGAUAAAGAAAAACCCAAGGGGGCGUUACGGUUCUCCACUAGAUGGCAACCUCACCUUUGAGUUCUUGGCGAAGCGCAGCAACUUCGCCUCCCCAAAAAGACCGGCAGGGGGGAGGAGAAGGCGUCCGGGGGAAGCUUCGUCUGGGGGUUAUUGAAUAUUUGGAGGAUGGAAUCUGACUCCUCGCGGAGAUUCUUAUUUAUGGCGGAAUGCGUUCACACUCCGGCAGGAGACUUCCAGGUCGUCGCUGGAAGACUAGUUCAAACCAUUGAAAGAAUUGCUCUACCGCGUAGAAUAGGCGAGGCUAGUUAUCAACCUGUGUCUGGGACCACCGAGGUUAGCGGACGGACGAAGGUCUGGAAAAAAUAAGUGAUAAGUAAAAAAUAAGUUUUAGGAAAAAUAUAAGUGUUGUAUAAAAAUGACUUAGUUGAUAGUUUAUUAAUACAUGAUUAAAUUAAUUAUUUUAUAAAAUGACAUGCAUGGUUCCUAGAAAUAUGUAUUGCUUUCAAAAGCAUCUGAUUUUUUUUAUAAAAUAAAUGAUUAAAUAAUUUUUAAAUAAAAAUUACAAAAAAGGCAGGCAAGUCCGAGGAGAUGGAGACUUGAGCUCGAGAGGGUAUAAUUAAAGGAUGGGCGACUACGGAAGUUGUCUAAAACGGUGUAACGAGGAAAAAAAUAAUUAUAUUUUCAAAUCUAUCUACGAGAGUUGACUAACAAAGCUGGCAGUUUGAUUGUAGAAAUUUUUUUCAUAAAAUAUAAGAAAAGAGAUACUUUCAUUACUUCCCUAAAAUAUGUUUGUCAACUCCUUUUCAAGGUUCUUUUGGUUUGUAAUCCAAUGAUUUUUGUUGGGGGCGGAUGGGGGACCUGGAACUUUAGUCCCACAUUGGAAGAAUAGCGGAAAGAAUUGUAUCUUAUAAGGAGGAGCCACCCCUUUUCUUCCAGAUGGCCCUUUUAAGAAAGACAAAGCCGUGAGGAAAAAUAUUACCCAUUAAGAGAUGCACACAACAUCCGACGCGCGAUACGUACGUACUUUCAUCACUUUCUCGCUCUAACAGAUGGCGCUAGAGGAAACGCCCCACCAAAACUUUCCCGCACGAAUCCUUUCCGCUGGGGGGUAGUGUUGGGGGGCGGAUGGGGGACCUGGGACUUUAGUCCCAUAUUGGAAGAGUAGCGGAAAGGAUAGGAGGGGCCACCCCUUUCCUUCCUACGUACGUACUUCCCCAAAACGGACAAUACCUCUAGUUGGGACGCAGUCACUUUCCCGCUCUAACAAUUUCUGUGAAUCAUUUAUCUAAAAAAUGAUUAUAGGAGGAAACAAUACCAUGUUUCAUUGGUAGAAAAUUAAUCUAAAAAUUGACACCAGAAAAGAUUGCUAGAAAUAAUUAUAUAUGGUAAUAUUGUCAAAAUUUUAAUAAUAUUUUUUAAUAAAUAAUUCAUAUAAUAAUAUUUUUUUGUUCAAUAUAUUAGUUGGUCAUUUAUAGCUCAUUUACAUGAAGGCUAUGGCCAUUUAUGGGUUUCAACGAAAAAAGUAGGGGCAUUUCUAGCAAGCAAUGAUAAUUUCUAACCUGUUAACCCACUAGCCGGUUUCAUAAUACGUUUUUAAUAAAUAAUUCAUAUAAUAAUAGUUUUUNNNNNNNNNNNNNNNNNNNNAAUAAUAAUUCAUAUAAUAAUAUUUUUUGUUCAAUAUAUUAGUUGGUCAUUUAUAGCUCAUUUACAUGAAGGCUAUGGCCAUUUAUGGGUUUCAACGAAAAAAGUAGGGGCAUUUCUAGCAAGCAAUGAUAAUUUCUAACCCGUUAGCCCACUAGCCCGGCUCGCGCCGGCUAGUGGGUUAACGACAUUUCUUUAUGGCCAACCCCUUUCCCCCCUUCCCUCUAGCCCAUCCCGCCCGAGUCUCAGACCCAAGCCCGCGUGCCCUGCCUUCCCUCAUCACGAGCCCAAGCCUAUAGGACCGCAUUGCAACUGUUGCCCACCCCGACUUCCUCAUCACGGCCCAAGCCCACAAGUCUGAGCCGCUACUGCAGAGCCCACUACUGCCAGCCCUUCUUCUUUAGAAGCCAUACCAUUUCUCCCUCCUCCCUUUGGGCCAUGGCCCAGCAGGCCGAUUAUACAAGCCUGCGCUGCACCCCUUCCCUCCCAUGGUUCGCAGGCCAGCAGGCCAGUCAGACCCCACGGUUUGCUGAUUCGCCUACAGACUUGCCGUGAUCGAACUAGAUUUGCACCGAUUGGCGAGCUGGCUUGCCGCACUCGGAUCGUCGCCCUCCACCGAAUCAGGUUUGUCCUCUUCUAAAAAUUUAGUUUGCUUACUUUAAUUCGGCAUUUAAUAGUUGUUUUUGUGCUUGGUGCUACGCCUCGAACAUCUGAAAUACACGCUUUCACAUACCCCCACAAAAACACACCAUAACCCUAGUAGUAGCCCUCUUUAUUAUUAAUUGUAGAGCUAAACCUUCGUUGGGAGGCUUACGAGGCUCCGUGACACCUGAUAACCCACUGCAUACCUGUACUACUUGACUGCAGCUACUUGUUGGCUUGCGUCUCUUACUGAUUCCCAGUUUGAAAUAUUUCUCUGCUAGAGUAUAGUCUUGUGUUAUAUUGAGCAUACACAUUGUAUUUUAAUCGUCCUUGCAUGCAUUAGGUCUGCCUCACAUCAUUAUUGUCCUCCUUUGAUAGGAUAGCAUUUAAUUGAGUUCAUUCAUCAUAUGCACAUUCGUAGUGGUCAUGUCAUCCCGCAUUCUGACACCCAGUCUAUCAUGGAUGCCCGCAUCAAAGCCCUACUGAAGGCCGUCGAAGACUUAACCACUAAGUCUACCCAAACCGAUGCCCGCCUCGAGUCGGUUGAGUCCUCCCUACGGAGACUCAUUGAAUCCAAAGAAGAUAGCAUCACCCACUUUCCAGGUCUAGAUUUCGAGAAAAUCCUAGAACCCCACGGCUCUGUUCGGCAGGUUAAUUUUGACCAUAUACCUUUACUAGGCCUUCAACAUGCCUACACUUGCCCUAGGUGAUCGGGCACCUUCCCUACUGCUGACUGAGGUCAUCGACAUAAUAUGGAACCUAGACAGCCUCGUGAUCAUGAUGACGAUGUGAUGAAAGGUAUUCGAGUUGAGGCCCCCACCUUUGAUGGUCGCCUUGACCCAAAGAUCUUCUCAGACUAGUUGCACGAAAUGUACCACUUCUUUGAGUGGAACAAUUUAUCUGAGGACAAGAAGGUCCGGUUUGCCAGGAUGAAGCUCAUCGAUCGAGCAAAACUUUUCUAGCAAAGCACCGAACAAUUGCUAGCUAGGAGACAUCAACCUGCAAUAACUGAUUGGGUAGAGAUGAAAGAAAAACUUGAAGAAAAAUAUCUACCCUUAAGCUACCAAGAUGAUCUUCUCGACCGAUGGAAUAAUUUGCGACAAGAUGAUCGAUCUGCUAGUGAUUACAUCGCCCAGUUUGACGAAUUUAUGAUGCAAUAUAAUGUGGAAGAAAAUGAAUGGAUGGUCCUAAGCAGAUUUCGACGAGGUUUUAAUGAUGAGCUUAGAAAAGAACUCGUCCUUCGAGAAAUAUCCACCCUCGACCAGACCUACACAUUCGUCCAGAAUUAUGAGCAGGUAACGAGGCCUAUAUAUGCUCGACGUUCUGACUCUUGAGGGCCACCCUCCAGUGCUCCUCCUUCAGAAUCCCGACCUUCGCUUGGGUCCACGCCUUCUAGACCUGUUUCCUCCACCCCUACCCCUAGCCGAGACACUAAGGGCAAGGGCAUUCUUGGUGAGUCCCCCAAGCCAACUUCCAGAAUUCAAUGUUUUAACUGCCAGGAUUUUGGACAUGCCGCCUCACAAUGUGCGAAUAAAUCCCUUGUUAUUGAGGUGCAAGAACACGAGAGUGCAACAGACGAUUUGGAAGAACAAAUAUAUGAACCGAAUUUAGAUGACAUCCAAGACGUCGAUGAUGACCAUGAUGAACGUCCCAACAAUUUAGGAUGUAUCCGGACCACGAAUCCAACAGUUGUGACCGAACCUGAUCAGUCCGCUAUAUAUGUAGUGCGAUGUGCUCUCGCCCAACCUACUGAACAUGAUGACUGGAGAAGAACUUCGAUCUUCCAGACUUAUAUUAAGUGCGGUGACAAGGACUAUAAGGUUAUCAUUGAUAGCGAGAGUUGUAUUAAUGCAAUAUCUUCAAACAUUGUCUCCCGUUUGGGUUUGACUUCAGUUUCUCAGACCCAACCUUACAAGGUCUCCUGGAUUGAUACAUCUUCUAUCCAAAUCAAAGAAAGAUGUCUUGUACUAAUUCAAAUUCUUUCUUAUAAAGACACUAUCUAGUGUGACGUAAUCCCAAUGGAUGUGGGUCACCUAAUAUUGGGAAGACCUUGGCUGUUUGACCUUGAUGUUACCAUCUAUGGUCGUUCUAAUUCUUGUUCAUUUAUAUUCGAGGGCAAAAGGAUUAAACUUAAUCCCUUGAGGCCCAAGACGUUUGACAAGAGUAAGAAGAAGAAUGAGCCAAAGAGCAAGGAACUCCAUAUCCUGAGCCCCUCUGAAUUUGAAAGGAAAGUCCUGAGCGAUUCCACGGUGUUCGCUUUACUUGCCCUAGAAAACCAUCUGAAUACGUCAAGCGAGUUACCAUCUGAAGGCCAUUCUAUCCUUAAGGAGUUCCCAAAAGUUUUCCCUCAGGACCUCCCGGAUCAUUUACCACCUUUGCGGGACAUACAACAUGCCAUUGAUUUGGUUCCGGGAGCUACUCUGCCUAAUCUAUCCCACUAUCGAAUAAAUGCCUCAGAGCAUACUGAGCUGCAAAGGCAAAUUAACGAGCUAAUACGAGAAGGGUUCAUUCGUGAAAGCUUAAGUCCUUCUGUCGUACCUGCCCUCCUCACUCCAAAGAAAGAUGGCUCAUGGAGGAUGUGUGUCGACAGUCGGGUCAUCAACUGAAUCAUGAUCAAAUACCGUUUUCCCAUCCCUCGACUCGAUGAUAUGUUGAAUAUGAUGGCAGGCGCCACGAUCUUCUCCAAAAUUGAUUUAAAAAGUGGAUACCAUCAAAUUCGAAUCUGCCCAGGUGAUAAGUGGAAAACGGUUUUUAAAAAAAGAUGGCCUAUAUGAAUGGUUGGUCAUGCCUUUUGGCCUCUCGAAUGCUCCUAGUACUUUUAUACGGGUAAUGACACGAGUAAUGCGACCUUUCAUGGAUAAAUUUUUAGUUGUGUACUUUGAUGACAUCCUCAUCUACAACCACUCAAGGGAGCAACACUUCGAUUAUUUGCGAUAGGUAUGCACAACCCUGCGAGAUGCAAAACUGUAUGCUAAUCUUAAGAAGUGUUCAUUUUUUACUUCUCAUGUCAACUUCUUGGGUUACAUUGUCUUCUUGGAGGGCUUGUCUGCUGACCUUGAUAAGGUCACUGCGAUAGUCAAAUGGCCCAAGCCCAAAACCCUCAAUAAGGUUUGCAGUUUUUAUGGGCUGGCCACAUUCUACCGUCGCUUUAUUAAGGGGUUUAGCACAUUUAUGUCCCCUAUCACUGAUUGCCUCAAAAAGGACGAUUUUCAUUGGACUAGCGCUGCUGCUAAAGCGUUUCACGACAUCAAGAGGAUGAUGACGGAGACGUUAGUUAUGCACCUACCAGACUUUGGUAAGGCUUUUGAAGUGGAGUGUGAUGCAUCCGGCCUUGGUAUGGGUGGAGUGCUUAGCCAAGAACGCCAACUCGUAGCAUACUUUAGUGAGAAGUUAAACGAGGCUAAACAUAAAUAUUCCACCUAUGACAAAAAAAUUUAUGCUGUAGUCCAAGCUCUCCGGUAUUGACGCCAUUAUCUGCUACCCAAUGAAUUCGUCCUUUACUCUGAUCAUAAAGCUCUUUGCUACCUUCAUUCCCAAAAGAAACUGAAUGCUAGGCAUGCCAAAUGGGUUGAGUUCCUCUAAGAAUACACUUUUGUCCUCAAAUACACAUCAGGUGCCUCCAACACUGCUGCUAACACACUAAGCCGUCGAGUGACCCUACUCUCGACCAUAUCUGUGCAUAUCACGAGCUUCAACAGACUCAUAGAGGACUACUUAUCUUGCCCUGAUUUUGGGGAUAUCUACAAUGCCCUCGCUGAUGGACGAGGACCCUCGAUCGAUGGGUUUCACCUUCAAGAUGGCUAUUUGUUUAAGGCAACAAAGCUCUGUAUCCCACAAACAUUAGUAAGAUUUCUUGGUAUGGAAAGUACAUGCAGGUGGCCUUUCGGGGCAUUUCGGUCGGGAUAAGACCAUCGAAGAGGUGGAAUGUCAAUUCUUCUGGCCUAGUCUAAAAUGGGACGUUGCUAAAAUCAUUGGGCAAUGUCGAACUUGCUAGUUAGCCAAACACCAAAAACAGAACACUGGCCUAUAUACCCCUUUACCGGUUUCCGAUCGUCCUUGGCAUGAUAUUAGUUUGGACUUUGUGCUUGAACUUCCCCGUACCGUCAGAAAACACGGUUCUAUUCUUGUAGUCAUGGACCGUUUUUCAAAAAUGGCACAUUUUGUUUCUUGUUCUAAAACCUCAGAUGCUUCUAAAGUAGCCAAACUCUUCUUUGAUGAGAUUGUCAAACUCUAUGACCUCCCAAAAACCAUCAUAUCCGACCGGGAUGUAAGUUUUAUAAGUUACUUCUGAAAAACUUUAUAGCACUCGGUUGGUACGAAACUCAAAUUUUUCACUGUUUAUCAUCCACAAAUUGACGGCCAAACAGAAGUGGUCAACCGAAAUCUUGGUAACCUCCUACAGUGCCUUGUGGGUGAACAUACUCAUACUUGGGAUUCCGUUCUUCCUGUCGCAUAGUUUGCAUACAAUAAUUCGGUCAAUAGGUCCAUAGGCAUGAGUCCAUUUAAGGUCGUGCAUGGUUACGAAGCUAGAAAACCUUUAGAUCUUUUACCUAUAUCACCAUAUGUUAUGAUUUAUGAGUCUGCACAUACAUUUGCACAACACAUUCAUGAGUUACAUCAAGAAAUUCAAAAGCGCAUCCAUGCUAGUAAUGCUCAUUAUAAACUACAAGCUGAUUCCCAUAGGCGAAAUAAGGAAUUCCAACCUGGAGACUAUGUUAUGGUAUGUACUCGGCCGGAGCAGUUUCCGCAUGGAACCGUUAAGAAACUGCAAGCUCAUAGUGCUGGGCCAUUUCGGGUAUUGCACCGGUGGGCACAAAUGCCUAUGUUAUUGAUUUUCCAUCUGAUUUUGGUAUUAGCUCUACUUUUAAUAUUGAAGAUUUGGUUNNNNNNNNNNNNNNNNNNNNCCAUUUCGGGUAUUGCACCGGUGGGCACAAAUGCCUAUGUUAUUGAUUUUCCAUCUGAUUUUGGUAUUAGCUCUACUUUUAAUAUUGAAGAUUUGGUUGCUUACAAGGGUCCUCCAUCCAUCCCUAAUGACUCUUUCGUUGAACCCUCUCUCGAGCCCACUGCUUCCCCUAUUCCUGAUUCCAUAUCAUCCCCAUCUCCUUUGCCUCUCCCACCAGCACAAAAAGAACUCAUUGAUGUCAUUUUAGACGAGCAACCAUUUUAUCCAGUGAUGGAAGCAUUCAACGCUUCUUGGUUCGUUGGCGAGGACGACCGAAGUCUAAUUCGACUUGGAUUACACGGGAGGAGCUCCAGUAUAUUUAUCCGGACCUUUUAGAGUAUUACCAGAGCUACACGGAGCCACAUUCAUCGAGGUCGACUUCUUUCCACCUGGGGGGAGUUGGUGCGGACACUAGUACCGGAUCACCUAUUACGCGGGGCUACGGUCAUCACAGGAGGAUGGUCCAGCCACUUUCGUUGUGGCUGGAUUGAUUUGAUUUUAUGUUAUUUUAUUUUAUAUUGUUUGGGUUUAUCUGCAUAUUAUCAUUUUAGGGCUUUUAUGGGUUUAUUAUAUCUGUAGAGGUCUUUUUGUUAUUUUGUGACCUUAUAUAUUUGGAUCCAUGCAAUUGAUUAGGGUUAAUGAAUAAUUGAUUGAAUGAUUAGCCUCUUUUCUCUUCUUGUUCUUCCUCUUUCCUUCUCUUCUCUUCUUUUUCUUUCUCUCCUCUCUUUUCCGUAGCCGUCCUGCAUCGGGGUCCCUUGGUCGCCACCGAUGAUGCCAUAAGUAAAAUGUUGUAUUUGGGUAUUUGUUUUAAGGCAUGGAGGUGUACAUCAAGCAUUGUGAUUGAGGGAGAGGUCAAGUUACUUGUGGGCACUCAAUGGUGUCGUGAGCGCUCUAUGCCAUGGCCUUUGCUUUGGGCAUGCCGCAGGAGGCGUCACACGAACAAGAAUCUAUUCGCGUCAGCGACACUCAUUGAUACAUUUUUUAAGCUUCUAGGGGUGGCCAAGAGUUGGAUACCUUCCUCCGAUAUUAGUUGAGAGGUGAAAUGUCAUGCUCCGAGAUCGCAUGUCAGGAGUCGCGGCAACCGCUCUAUAUUUAUAAAAAAAAAUUUCUAUAAGCAUGCAAGGCAUUUCAUGAUAUUAUAAUCAAAUCGGACGAUAGAAAUAAUAAAAUUUAAACUCUUACCAAAUUAAUAAUAUUUAGAUCUAGUCUUGUGUCAACUCUAGUCUAAUAUAUAGAAGUCUUGCAUGGCUGUACUGAUAUUGACCUUAAAAAAACCUUUUCUAUAUUAUCUUUUAAUACCAAGUCUUAAGGCCUCUGUUCAACAAACAAGCCUUCACUCCCAUUCAUACGGCCUCUUCGAAAAACCACAACCACAAACUUUUUCUCAUCCGCAUCACAAGUUCCUUGUAGAAAAAUCAUAGGUUGUGACACUUUCUUCAGUUAUAUUGCAUUGGUAUAGCAUCCCACUAGUACUAGUCAAAGUCAUAAUGUUAAGAAGCCAUGCAAAGGAAAAGAUGAUCAUGCCACAACCUUCUAAAUAACCUCCUCUCCAAGCUACCUUCAACAUCUGAUAUGACCCUACCUUUGAUAACUGAAAAAUAACAGAAAAUAUUUCUUUUUUGUGUGGACUAUGGACGUCCUCCUUCUCUUUGUGUUGCGGAAGAUAGAUAAGCAUUAAAGCUUUUAGAAAUUAUAAUUAAACGACCAGAGAGAGAGAGAGAGAGAGNNNNNNNNNNNNNNNNNNNNNNNNNNNNNNNNNNNNNNNNNNNNNNNNNNNNNNNNNNNNNNNNNNNNNNNNNNNNNNNNNNNNNNNNNNNNNNNNNNNNNNNNNNNNNNNNNNNNNNNNNNNNNNNNNNNNNNNNNUUAUGGUGCAAGACCCGCGCCUACUCCGGAGUGGACCACCUGCAGACUACCAACCAACCAUAACCCCCCAACAACUGGUCUGAUGCUGCAGACCGAAUAAGCAGUCUCAAUUAAGAUCUGUAAUCCCGGAACUCAGUACCGUAUUAAAACUUUAUCGAUAUAGUAUAUUGCACUUCUAUACCGAAAUAGUUAUUUAACUAUUUUUUUAUAAUUUUUAUUUCGAUACGUCUUAAUACAGAUCGGUAUGCCUCGAUACGGGCCGAUACGUACUUCAGUAUACCUCGGUACACUUCGGUACAGAGCGGUAUAUCUUGAUAUAGGGCGGUACGGAAUUUGCACCGAUUUGAAAUUAAGUUUUGUACCAGUUUUCUUCCCGUAUAGAGCAGUACGACAGACCAUGGCCAUAAUUGUAUGGAUAGUCGGGGAAUAGAAAUCAUCUCUCUCUCUCUCCCCCCACACAACACAUACCCUCGCUCAAAAUAUAGGAUUUGGAUUGUUAUCUUUCACGCAAAAAAAUGAUUGAUCUUCUUUUGCAACAUCAACCAUUGGAUCAUACCAUGUACAGAUCUCAAAGCAUCCCGAACUCUUUCAUUCAUCCAUCCAUUUAUAUAGAUCUCGAAGUGAUUAUCGUGCAAUCCAACAGUGAUUCAUGAGAAGAAAAGUGAAUUCUUCUUUUGAGGAAAAGAUACAAUCCCUAUCCCAAAAUAUAUGAGUUGAGAUAUAUAACUUGGGAUUUAUCCUAGUGAUCGUAACUCUCAGCUUAGCAGGUUUAAUUGCUGCGCUUUGUUUAAAUUUAUGAAUAGGAAUUUAAAGUCAUAAAUCAUAGCCAAGAAUUUUUUUUUUUUCCUAGCUAUAUGAAGAUGAGCUAGUUAAAUUCUUUCAAUGUCCAUCCCUAUUAAUCUUCAUUCAUGGGCACUUCAAGUUUGUCCAAAUCAUUUUUCAUGUGUGUCUCAACGGACAGGGUGGGAUCUCAUUUUGUACGUUUGUGUUUCAUAUUCAACAGAAGGUGGUGUUCAGCUGCAGAAUAAGCGAGGGAAAAGAGAUCGGCUGUACCAUUAAAGGAAUAGGCCUAUCCCACGAAAAUAUGGGGGAGAUAUCCCAAUUUGAAGGACAUCUCCCUAUUUAAUUUGCAAUCAAAUUCCACCAUCAUAAUUAAUAAAUAAAUAAGAAGGAAAAAAAGAAAAAGAUAAGGUCCCAUUAAUUAGCGUCGCUACUAUUUUAAUUGGCAGCUUCGGUGAGAUGCGAGAAGCUCGAGCCCAUCAAGUUCCCUGCUAAAGAAGCAGCAAGAAAACGGAUUGAAAGGUCUUUGACAUUUUAACAAAAAAAAAAAAGGUCUUUGACAAAAUAAAGCCCUUCCGUAUACAUAUAUAUAAUCAAGCAAUAUGGUCUUUUAAAGGAGAUGAGAGAGAGGUAAAGGAGAAAUUUUUCAUCUUUUGAGGUCUGAUCAAUCUUUAUUGUCAGCAAUUUAUCCUUAAUUAGGCACAUAUCACACUUCAGCUCAGUGUUUUGAAUUCUAAGUGUGCCUUGUUUAGUAGAUAAAUCUUUUGAAAUCAUUAGAAUAACAUGGUUGAAAGGUUGGGUUAGCAGUCCAUGGUAGCUUCUCAUGUCCCUCUUUAGGCAACUAGUAGCAUACAACUUGCAAAUGUUUAGAUAAUAGAACGACAGUACAUUAAUCCACAUUUGAAAGAAGAAAUGUUUAGGUGGACUACGAAGAGCACAUCGAUGCAUCUUAGUACUUCUCGAUGCAACUUAGUAUCAUUAACUUUGCUCUUUCGUAAUGAUACAUCCUCAUCUACCCUCUGAUUUGAAGAGAAUUGAUGCACCUGAGGCAUUCCCAGACUUUGAUCAGAACUCUAAUGGUGGAAUAAUAAAAUACGUCUAACCAUCAUCCCUGUACGUAUCAAAUAACGCACUGGAUCUGCUCCCUGAUUGACAAAUUGGAGAUUGUGGACAGUGCUUGCUGCACAUUUUGGUUGAGUUCAAUGGAUUUUGGCAGCACCCAAACUUGCGAAAGACCGUGACAGGAUGAAACCCUCGACACUAUUCAAGUGAGUCAAGCCCCCAUUCCACGUGUUCUUUAAUCAUGGAACACGUUGGGACAAAAUAUUGCUUCAGAAACGAAGGCAAAUGUGAAGAAUAGUUAUCCUAUCGACUACCUCUAUCUAAUCGCAGCUUGUUUACACACACAUCAAAUGGUGAUUACACUAGAUAUUUGCUUAUAGUGAACUUACAUGCUAUUUAAAACCUCUUAAGUAAAACAACUAACAAAAAGGCACCCACCCUCAGGGAAAGCCAUAAACCUAGAAAGAGGAUGAUCGAUGAUGCCUUUAAACUGAUAACUGAUUGAUGUCAAGAGUCCUUUAGUAAGACUUGUAUAUAUGGAUUACAUGUUAGACUCAGAAGUGUAAAAUCUGCUUUGCUGAAUCUGAUGACUGUUAUCGCCAAACAUGAGAACUAGAAUGAGUAGAUCCAUUGUUGGAACUCUCAGUCCGCUUUAGACGUCUCUGCCUGUAUCUCCAUACUACUUGAAUGCGGGUCGCAGCAAUAUUUCUCCAAUAGGGUGAUUCAUACCUAAUAUUUUGAUGGGAACAAGAUGAUCUUAAUUCUUGAGUUUCAAAGAACUAAAUUUAUAUUGUUUUACAGAAUUCUGAUUACCAGGUAUAGCAGUACAAUGCACAAUGGAAUUAUCAAUGGUGCUCUAUAAAUUAAAAAGAAACUCCAGGCAAUAAAAGGGGAAAGUUGACAGAAGGAAAAUUUUGAAUAUCUUAAGCACUUGAGAUAAUUCUGAAAAUUUUAUCCUUGGUUAUUUGUAAUAUUUCACGGGAAAAACAUUACAGUAUAGCAAAUAAAGUAUUUGAGUUGCGCACAAUGUAUUUAUCAACAAGCAAUUAAUAAAGAGAAGCAGCUCAUAAUGGAUUGAGGAGGCUGAGAAAAAAAUGUAAAAUUAACUAUGGACAUUAACUUGUAUCUAUAUGGAGUCCAUUCCUCUGUAGCUACAAUUUUCUACCUCAAGCAUCGCAUUGCUCUAAAAUCUUAUUGCCACUCAAGCAACCCUCUUCAUAGCACUUUCCGUAAUCACAAACUUUAACUGGUAGAAGAUAUUUUACUGAUUUUUGUUUAAUAAGAGACUACUUUAUAAUAUUCAUUGACUUUUGGUUUUUAAAUCCGUCAUUUUUUUAAUCAACAGAAGAACCUUUUUUUAUUAACAUAUAAUGCUUGAUUUGAUCAAGAUACUUUCCUAGCACUCUUGUUCCCUACCUUCUCUAAGAGGCCCGCUCCCGAUUCAGUUAGGUACAUGACCUGUAUAGGCCUUGCACCAUGGUACAUAAAAAAUGAUAAGGUAUCAAAUGGGCAAUGGUAAGUUGAGGGAUGGGCCAAUAUGUAACAAUAAAUAUCUAUGUAGACAGGCAAACAAAUGUACUGUGUUGGCUACCAUGUAGCACGGGUACAUAUCAUUGAUGCUAAAUGACAGUGAACCAAUGUUUAAGAUUUCUGUGCAUAUAACAACCACAUUGUUUUCCUCAAAACUUAACAACCAUGUUGACUCAGUUAAUGAAAUACAUGUUGCAUUAUGUAUGACGUUUUUUGAAAGGUUUUGUUCCUUGAAAUCAAAUUUUUAUCUUUUGCAAAGAUCUAUUCUCAUCUUACACGCUAAUGUUCAGCAUUGACAUCAAUUUUGUCUGGAGAAAACAUUAAACCAGAAACCCUACGACCAGGCUUUCCAAAAUUGGUCAUACUACAAAGAAAAUUUUAUGUCUCUGAGAAUGUUUGAUAGUUAGAAACCCUAAAGUUACAAACUGUACCUUGCUUCAAUCAAUUCCACUAGACAAAAUUUCUAUCAAAAAGAAAAAAAACACUAGAUGAAAAAAAUGAGGACAAGAUUCAGCAUGAAGAUUUUUCUCCAACAUUAAUUAAGCAAGAUAAUACUUUCCAUAAGUAAUAUAAAAUAGAUGUAUGUACGGUAGGGUUGUCAAACAAUGAGCCAUUUGAGAGAGCCAGCUUGUGCUCAGAUCAAAAUUAAGCUUGCUCGAUUUGCAAAUGAGCUAGGCUAGAGCUAGGUUGGGCUUGUUCAGUUUGGCUUCAUUAAACUUAAAAUAUGAGAAUGUAAAAUAUUUUAUACAAUAUUAAAUUAUUUUUAUCAUUUUCUAUAUAAAAAAUAAGUAUUAUUAUUGAAUUAAUAUGGUUUAUAAAAAAUAGAAUGUAUUUUCAAAAAUUAAAUAUAACCAGAAUAAUACAUCUUGUGUUGGCCGAAAUUAAAUGAGCUAACUUGACUUCUGCUUCAUUACAAAAUAAGUGAGACUUGAGUAAUACCUGACUACCUCAAGCUAGGCUCAUUUAUACCCUCUCAAUGAGAUAAGGUUCAUUGGUUAUUCUUAUUUCUAAUAUUAUAAAUUGUUUAUUUUGUUCAAUUACCAAAAUUUACAUCAUUAGUUUUAGUGAAUUACCAUACUAUAAAAAUGAACUCUAUUGAGUUUCAAAAGCACUCAAUACUAAUCAUGAAUGACAAUUGAUGACGCAAUUUGUGAUAUGCAAUAUCGAAGAAAAUAGUGCAAUCAUGCUUACCUAAUCGCUCCUUGCACACGUGGGCUCCGCAGGAAUCGGGAAAACAAUGUAGUGACUUCUUCCAAGUCAGCAGCUCGUAGUGCGAAUGCCUCAACAUUAGUUAGACACUUAACAGUCCUGUUUGAAAACAAGAGCUGUCCUGGGAACCUGAUUUUCCCACCAUCUGCGAGAGGAAAAAUUUUUGCACACAUUUAAUUAGCACGCAUUAGAAGAAGAUGUGCUAUGUCAUACAACAUACAACAUGAUUUUUUUUUCUUCACUUUUUCCAAAUAGCCUGCUCCUUGGCUUAGUAUCUGAAUUUUCUCUUUACACUCUACUAAAAGUAACUGGUUAUCUGUUUGUUUUACCAAUUUGAGAAACAGACUACAGAUGAAGAACUGGCAGUUCUAUGCUAAAAAGAAAAUUGCCUUCUAAUAAUGUGUUAAUCAUCUAUGCAAAACACUAAAAAUUCACAUAAAUGUCCGUAAUAUAUCCUAAAGUGCUUUGGAAGCUGACGUAAAAGCUUCUCGAGGACAAAAACAAAUUGAAAAUGGUAACCAGCGAAACAAGCACUGAAAUUGGACCUCUUAAAUCUAGGAUUGGGUUAUAUGCCUAGAUAGGAGCUUCUGAAUGCAAUGCAGUAUUUGCCAAUGGAGACUGGUGUACAUGUCAUACCUCUAUUCACCGAAGAGUGUUCAAGAUACCAUGUGAGGAGCUCCUCACCACAUACAUCUCCUUCUGAUAAAGGCGCUACAUUUCCAUCUGCUCCAAUGCUCUCCAAUUUACCCCUCACUAUGAAAACCAUCUUUUCAACGGGACUUCCCACAUAAAGUAUAUCACUUCCUCCAAUGUAUAACUUUUGCCUUAAUUUUUCACAAACAGCAUCAAAGAGGGCCUCAUCCAUCAGGGAAAAUAUCCGAACCUGCAAAUCAGCAAAUUUUCGGUUCUCAACAAAACUAUGAUAUCAGAAACUAGAAGACUCAAUUGCCACAAUGGCAUGAAAUCAGCAUUUGUAUUUUGCUUGCUAAUGUGCAUAACUACAUUCAACUGAUCUUUUGCUUCAAUUUGAUCUUAGUCCACAGUUCAGACCAAGUAAUAUCUUGUUAGAGUACUAGUAUAUGUAAAUAGGGUCACUAAUACCAGAAAUACUACCAUGAUAUUAUGUUUUUGGUAUCUAAAAGCAGAUCACUAGAGUUCAGGCACUAGCCUGUAGUAGUGCAUGUAUGCUGCCGAAUGUACAUGUUCAUUAUGAUGUAGAGUUGCAUACCUCCAUUUGUAUGUGUGAGACCAGAAAUGGAUUGAAUUAAAUUGGGAAUGGAUUGUUUUAGCGUUUCCGAGAAUAGGCCCAUACGUGCACCCUUUAGUGUGAUAUGCUCAUCAUAGGGUGUGUUUGCCAUCAAUGUCUGAAGUUUCACGUUGUAAUAAGUUUAGGAAUUAACACUUUCACUUGCUUAUGCAGUUUUGUAGGACGAGCAUUUGUAAGAAUCCUAUAAUCCAUGACCCAGAACAUGGAUAUGGCCCCAAAUGAUCUGGAUCUCAUCCUUGUAUCAAAUUCAGUAAGGAUCAUAAAAGCUAAUGAAGCAGCAUUUUUCUAUAUUCUUUGCUCUACCCAAGAAAGAAGAAAUGGGUGGUCACCAUGGCAUGCUCAAAGGAAAGAAUAACCCUCACGGUGAUUGCUCAUUUGUAAUGUAUAUGACCUAUAUAGGGCCAAAUAUAAUGGUAGAAACAAAUCCCGACUACCAGGUGUGAUGUUAAAUAGGCCUAAUAAACCUGUUAGAAGAACCAUACAAAUUUAAUUCUCAUCUGCACCAGAUCAUCCAUCUCCAUUAAAUAAUGGAAACUUAAAUCAUAAUGAUACUAAGGAUAUAGAACAAGUUAUAAUGACAGGAAAUUAGAAAAAAAAAGAGGUGAUAUCUAUACUUUAAUUGGACAGGAGUACGAAAGCUCCUUAUCCUAUAAUUCAGAGAAAUAGCAAAGGGGAUAGGGUAAAAAAUCCCACUCCUCUAAGUUUAACCAGACAUCCUUUUCUGUGCUAAGUACUUGCUCUCAAACGUUAAAGAGAAACAAAAAUAAGAUAGGAGAAAAAAUAAACGCUCCUCCUGUUCGAACCGGAGCCUCUACUUAAUAGGGGAAAAGCCUAAACGGACCCAAAUUGACAAGUAUCCUAAUUAGCAAAAUUUGAAUCAACUCAUGUCCAAAAUCUCUAUAUACCAAUCCAUUAAAUAUAUACCUUAAUCCAACCAUCCAAUUCUAACUUGAGCCUCUUCUCUUUAGGGGCGUGACUUGGGGUUAGUUCAGGCUGCCGCCACUUAAGUCUAAACCAACCAAUAAAAUAUGCACCUAAUCAUACUUGACUAAACAAACAACUUAACUAGCAAAACUCAAACUCAGCGUAAGACAUAAAUUUGAACCAACUAUAGUAAAAGAGUUGAAUUAGGUUGAGUUGAGAACGACUCUAGAAGUGCUACCAAGUCGGGUCAGGUCCAGCUAUCACCCAACCCAGAUCCAACUUGUUGGGAGGUUUCGGCCUACAUUUGAAUCCAUUCGCUACCCAUUGUAGAACUGGGCUGGUUUGGGUUUAGGUAGGAUCAAGUUGACUAAAGAUUGAGUCCAAGUUGGAUAUGGUUUCGUCAAGUUGCCCAACCAUCCUCACAUGCAUCUCCCUAUCCAAAAUUCAAAGAGAAGUCAAAGAAUGCCGUUCUUCCAACUCAAAACUAAGUCCCCCUUUUGCUUAAAAAUAACUAUCAAACAUUAAACCAAAAACUGAAAAGAAAGAAGAACAACCAUCCUUCCUCCUAUUUGAACAUGCGCCUCUCCUUCAUAUUGAAUUGACUGGAGAUUGUUUGGGUUAUCCCCAAUCAAAACUGAUUUGAAACCAACCUGAUCGAUGAAAUUUGAACGCAACUAGAGUUAAGAUCUCUAUGUAUAAGCCUAUUAAAUAUGUAGUACAACCCAACACACAAAAUUCCUAAUCUUGAUCUGACAUGACCGAUCAUGAACCCGAUUAGUAAAAUCUGAACCCCCCAAUAUGAGUCCACAAUCUUUAUAUAAGCCUAUUAUGUAUAUAUAGGAGAUAUACUACCCUAAAAAAAAUGGAGGAAAGAAGUCUUCCUAUUUCAAAGUUUAGAAAAAUAUAAAAAAUGUAAAUAUACAAAAUGAAAUCCUCCGACUCAAACUUGAUGCCAUCCUUACUUGACCAAGAAAAUAUGAAACCUAGCUAGGCCUGACCAUACAAUUUGUUUCUUAAAUUCCUUAUCACUUUACAUCCCUUUACUCCAUGCCACACCAAUCAAUGAUCAAUGAUACAUGAUCUAACUACCCUAGAUUUAUCAAUAAUGUCUUUUCUCAUAUUUUACUCUGAGACAAUUAGCAUUUAUGAUGUUAUUAUAUAAUUUUUAUUUACUUCCACCUUUAUUUUUUUUUCUAUAAAUCAAAUAACUCAAUUUCUAUUUUUCAUUUUAUUUACUUUAUUUUUAUUUCUAUAUUUAAUAUUUCUUAAUCCCUAGCAUAACAUGGUUUUAGUUGUACUAUGCCAACUUACAUAUGUGCUUAACCUAUUCGUAUCAAUUUUUCCAAACACAAUUUCAAAUAAAUUUACAUGGUUUCAUGUUUGGAGAAAUGAAUUUAUAUGUUCUUAUGACGUUAUUAUGCUGUUAAGAGUUAUUUUCCCCGACUUAUUCUUUUAAAAAAAUAAAAUAAAACUAAUCACAACAAAAAGGUGCUUGUGGACACUCUACCAUCUGAUACAAUCAUAGACAUCAUAUAAUUGAACUUCCACUCUCUCUAAUAUGUUUAUUGUAUUUGUUGUUUGUUAAGCAAGAAAAGGACAAUUUUAAUUAUCAUAAGCCACACAUACAUAGAACAUUACAAUUACCAUCUCAAGAUAUUAUAAAUUUCCUCAAAGAAAUCGUAUUAAAUGCCUAGACAUUUAUGGUAGUCCACGUGAAUGGUCCUAUCAUGACAAUACAAGUCAGAGUCAGAUCUAUGAGAACAAGAACUAGUUAUCAACAAAGUGAUAUAGACUUAUUGUUACUACUUACUACCAUAAACAAGUCACAUCUCAUGUUUGGAGACUCACUUUAUGGAGAAAUUUAAAGAAAUGGCGACGAAUUUCCCUUUGUAGGUCCUCUGGUAGAUUCUCUAGUAGCUCUUCUUCAUUUACACCUCGAGUAGCUGCCCAACUAAACCUCUCCGCUUGUCUUACUUGCCUAAAUCAUCAUGUAAUUUGGGUUAGUAUCACCACCAAAAGGGAAACUUCAGGAAUCAAUAACAAAAACAUGCAGAAAAUCAUUAAAGAGUUGAACAAUAACAAACACAUAUAAGUAGUACAACUAAAUGACUAAGGUUCAAUCCAGAUAAAUGAUUAUGAUGUCUGGACAGUCAUGCACCACGUUAGCCAAACUAUACUGCAAUUAAUUCAUAAACAAGGUGGACUCAAAUAAAAUAAAAUAUUAUGUGGAUUCACCAUGAAUAACUAAAUAGACAUUCUAAUGGAUAUUUCCUAUUUCAAUCACUACUAUAAAGUAAUAAAGUUCUCAGAACAAUGACAAUAAAUUUUGUUAUGAUUUCCGUACAGAUAUAUGUAAUUAGGUCAGCUAAGUGGUCACAGCAUUAUCAUAGUCGUAUCAUUUUUUUGAUAUACUAGACUUUGCCUUCCUCUUUGUAUAGGCACUUUCCAAGUCUAUCGCAACUUGAUGGGUCUCUCCCACUUUGCAUGAGCAUAGAUAGCCUAACCAAUAAAGUAGGUUUUCUUUCCCAAAAUCACUCUCAUGUUUCACGACAAAUUUCAUCCCUCAUGGAAAAAGUCAUCAACCAGAGGAUCAAAAUAAAGAGUUGAUGCAAGGUCGAGAUAUAGAUGUAAAAGGUUCUUGAAAUUAGGAUGUGUAUUUCUCAAGAAAUAAGACUUGCAAGUACAGUACAAUACAUCUUUAAUUGGCUUGUAAUCUUAUAAUCACUAGCAUAUAUUAUCUUCCCCUGGUUACUAUGCUCCCAAGAUCAGUUCAUUGCUUGGAACCUUCAUGUCGGAGCUUUGAAUUAGCAUUCCAGGAGAAAAAAAAAAUCUAGAAGACCAAUUAAAUGAUUAGAUUCAAUCGCCUAGAGAAUGUCUUAGGUGUUUUUGGAGUUCUUAUCUUGUCUAGUGGUUACUGGAACAUAAUUCAUGCUCUAAGAGCACCAACUGAUCAAAAGCUCCAAAACAAACAACUGUGACCAUGUCAGCCAAAUUCAAGUUCAGGGUAAUAUCUACCCCUUCUAUUACCUUACAUCCAUUUUCCCUGAUCUCCCCUUCCUCUUUACUUGCAUAUUUCCUGCCUCUUUUAAACCAUUUUCCACUUUACAUGGCUAGUUGUGCACAAUUUAUUUGAUAAUGCAUAAUGGCAAUAUCCCUUCAUCUAUUACCUUCUUUUCUUAACUACUUGCCACUUUCUCCAAUCUUUUACCAAUUUACAUCCUUCACUUAUUCUGUUAUUCAGAAAUUUGCGUCCCUUUUCUCUUACUCCACCUCAACUUAGUUUUGUUUCUUAGGAUGUUUUACAGCAGUCAGUUUUCAGAUACCAUCAAGGCAUUCACAUGACAUUAGAUUAGACGAAAAUAAACUGUGGCAUUUGAUCUAGUAUUGUAAUGAGGCAAUUAUCAUGAAUUGAUUUAUUGGGUCAAAUUGAUAAGACAACAUCUACAUUUUCAACAGAUGUUCUAGGGUGCAUCAAUUGGGAAGCAUGGCAGCUUGACAAUUGAUUUGUCUUAUCCUUUCUCUUGUUCUUUAUUGUAUUCCUCCAGCUUUGCGUGAUCCACUUAUAAGUCCUUAAUGUUGGGCUAUGCAUGGGACCAGCUUCAGACAUUUUAAGCUUGCGGCAAUUCUACAAUGUGCAGUGCUUCUUGGGGCUCUGGAUAUGCUCAAGUAGUUCAUCUUGUUCCUCUCCGGAUGCUGCUCCAGUCUGAUCUACUAUUGUUCUAUUCACUUUGUUGGUCAUCAUAUCAAGGUUUAUCUUUUCCUAAAAGGGCCAUCAGCAACAGAAUCCUCCUUAUCAAUCUUACCAGCCCCACCUAUGCACCAAUGCGAAUCAUUCCUUCUUUGUGUUGUCCUUGAGUUCAAUGUUCCUUUAACGAUGGUGUUCUGCAGUCUUCCUUGUCAUAAUAGUGUGCAGUCUUCCUUGCCAUAAUCACUAUUACAGGCAAGGUUGGAGGAACUGGUACCGGAACCCGUACCGAUUCUUCGGCGGGAUGGCUCGGUAUGGCCUGUGCCGUACCGCUCCGGGCCCGUACCAACACAGCGCAACAAAUAGGGGAAGGAAGAACGAGAGAGGAAAAGAGAGAACGAAAGCAGGGGAGGGACGCCAGUGGAGGGCCGGCGGAGCCUGGCGGAGGCCGCAAUAGGGCCGGCGCUGGGGAAGAAGGAACGAAACAGGGGUCGGCCACUUAAACAACCCUUCUUCCCUGGCAUUGGCCUCCCGCCGGCGUCCUCUUCUGCUCCCUCCCUCCCCCGCUGGCUCUCUUUCCUUCUCUUCUCCGGCUCCGAGAACGUGUCCCAUUUUUGGAGCCGGAACCGUACCGGUGGCUCACCGGUACGGUUCGAAACGAGCAAAACUACCCGGUUCGGGUCAGUUCCGCUGACGUUCACAAGUGCUAUUACCAGGCCGCUACAUCUAGGUAGCCAUGAAUAUUCGAUUCUAUGCCAGGAAUUCUAAUACCAGCCAUUUAGAUUAAUAUAUACCCCUGCCUUCUUCAUUUCAAUUAUUUACUAUUGAUUUAUCUUCCAGACCUAAAUCUUCAAAAUGUCCUAACUCCCUAAGAUGUAAUUAUCAGUAAAUUUUGCUCUUUAACUACCACUGAAUUGUUAAUUUCAAGAUGCGGAUUUGAUCUCAUUGCGGCCCUGUAUUGCUCUUUUAUCUGGAUUUAUAAGUCCUUAUAACAGUACCAUCAAAAUACCUGCAUUGUGGAUGAAAUUAUAGUUAGAUAUUGGAUUAUGGAUGAAAUUAUGUUUAGGCAGUAUAAGAAUUGUACUGUUUUCUAGAUGAAAUUAUGACUUAUGAUUAUGGAUGACACUAUGACCUAUAGAUGAAAUACCAGUGCCAUCAAAAUACAGCCCUUAUAACUGUAUCCUGGAUGAAACUACGGAUGUUUCUUGCUUGUAUUAAGCACUGUGUUAUUAUUAUUAUGUUUGUGCUGUAAUAGAUUGGGUUGUGGUCUGAACAUUGCCAUACUUUCUGAUUUCUUUUCUGCCUUAUCUUUACAAAGUGUUUUCAUGUCUGUGUUGUUGCAUUGUGAAAAGAAAGAAAUGCCUAAGAAGAGCCAAGAUAUCUCUGCUAGUACAUCAUCCCAAGAUGAAAAGAAAAAGAAGUCUGUUUGGAAUGACAAAUUGAUAGAGAGUUUAUUGAUAUCUGCAUUGGUGAAGUUGAAGCUGGUAAAAAGACUGGAAUCAAUGACUACAAACAAUUUAAAAUCAAAUUGAAUAGUUCAAAAGCAAACUGGAGCCUUCGGAUGAGGUUGGUAGGAAAGGACAUGGGGUUGGAGGGGAACUGUUAGAAGAAUGAUAGAUGCACCUGAUGCAUGGCAGGGAAAAAAAUUGCAGGUACAAGUAAUGCUAGUUUGAUGUUUCUAAGAGUUUGUGUACUAUGAUUCAUAAACUACUAUUGACAAUUAUAUGUCCACAAAUUGCAAGAUAUUCCUAACGCAUGUAAGUUUCAAGAAUAUGGUUUGCAACAUGCAGUGAAGUUGGACAGGUUAUUUACAAAUGCUAGUGCCACUGGGGAGGGGGCUUGGACACCAGCCAUAGCGGUGCAGGAGGUUGUUGAGGGCACAUUUGGGACAAAUGAGAGGUUGGAUGCAGUUAAUAUUGAUAUGUUAGAGGGCUUACGUGACUCAGAUGAUGACCCCAAUCUGAUUGUACGAGAAAUUUAUGACAUUCCCACUGUCAUAGACAGUCUUAACCCUAACCUUGCAUGCAAUGCCACCCAGGAGAAAGAAAAGAAGAGGGUUAGCACUAGGACUCAAGAUAAGAAAUGCAAGAAGGUAAGAGGUGCUGGACAAUUAUCUCAAUAGUUGAAUUGUAUAAUUGAGGUAGAGGAGAGUAGGAGUACAGUGACAUCUAGGUGAUGGAAAUAGUGUGCCAUGCCUGAGGUAGUCGCACAACCUGAAUUUCUUCUGAUUGUUGCCAAGGUGCUCCUUUAAAGAGAACACAGGGAAAAGUUUGUAGCUCUCAAGGGCACCCACCUUCAGAUUGAAUGGCUCAAGCCAUGGUUUGCUGUACCGCGCGGUGCGGGGCAUACUGUACCGCAUCGGAAGAAAACUGGUACGAAACUGAACUUCAAAUCGGUACAAGCUUCGUACCACCGCGUACUAAGGUCCAUACCAGACCGUACAGAAGCGUAUUGAUCUGUAUUGAGGCAUACCGAGAUAAAAAUUGAGAAAAUUGGUUAGAAUUAUUUCGGUAUAUGAUGCAUAUCGUUCCGUACCGUACCGAACCAAUAAGAUAUCGAUAUGGUACCCAGAACCGAGAUUCCGGACCUUGGCUCAAGCGAAUGUCAAAUGGAUGUAUUCUUACAGUGAUAUGUGUUCAUAGUUUUAAUUUGUAUUUUCUGUUGGAAAUCAUAUUUCAAUGCUGAAUUGUGAAUAUAGAUGUUUUAAAUAGUAUAUGCAUUGGUGCCAUGGUGGAUAAUGUAUUUUGGAUGUUAUGGAUAGUAUGUGUUGGAUGGAUUACAUGUGUUGAUGUUAUAUAUUAUUUGUGUUAUUUGUUAUGGGUUACAUGGAAAUUAUGGAUUAUAUGUCUUGGUGUUAUAUAUUGUUUGUGUUAUUUGUAUGGUUGUUUUAUUUUUUGCAUUUUGUUUUCUCUAUAGAUAUUGGUAGCACCGACAGUAGUUCCGAGGAGAACUAUUCUACUAAAGACGAGAUAGUUGAUGAUGGAGAUUUUUAUGCAUUAAUGACUACAACUAUUGGUACAACUAUUGAUUAUUAUACAAAUUAUAUUGACAGGGAGCCUUAUAGGACCUCUUUUCUGAUUGAAUUAAGUUUGUAUUAGAGAUUCUACAAGGCAAUCCAGAUGAAGUUUCGCCGUCUCAGUACCAAAUUCUGUACCAGUACCAUCUUAUUACAGUGUCCGUACGUAGUACGGUACAAUAUGGCAAGGCAAACCAAAUGUCAGUAUGUUACAAGACUGCGUACCAGUUCGCUACCGAUACAGUACAGUACGCCAGGUACAGUAUGGUACCGACUGGUACGGCAAACCUUGAUCUAGAUAGAUAUCAAAAACAAUUCAGAAUGGAAAAUAUGUAUUUGAUGAUUUGCGCAAUGAAUUGGAAGACAUGGUUUGAAAGCUUCUAGAAGCAUUGCUGUUGAGGAGCUAGGGACUAUGCUUUUGAUGAUUCUAAGAUAUGGAAUUGGAACAGGAUGGUACAAGAAAGGUUUCAACAUUCAGGAGAAACAAUUAGUAGGCAUUUUAUCCGUAUCUUAAAUGUUAUCUUAAAAAUGCCAAGGAUAUUAUUAACCUAAUUAAUAGAGUUUAAGAAUAUUCCAAAUAAAAUUCAACGACAAUUGCUGGUGGCAUUAUUUUAAGGACUCUAUUGGAGCAACUAAUGGUACUAUCCACAUGCUGCUAAAGGUUUCUUCAUCCAAAUAGAUACCAUAUACUGACCAAAACGAGAUUCCCAUGCAAAAUAUCAUGGCUUGUUGUGAAAUGCGUUUCACUUUUAUUUGGACUAUAGGAGGGUACCACUCAUGGUACAGCUAUUGACUAUUAUACAGAGUACAUUGACAAGGAUCCUUAUAGGGCCUCUCAUCCAAUUGGAUUAAGUUCGUGUUAAAGAUUCUACAAGGCAAUCCAGAUCAAGGUUCGUCAUCUCAGUACUGGAUCUCGUACCAGUACCAUCCUAUUACAGUGUCAAUAUGUGGUACAAUACAAGAUGGCAAGGCGUACCUAGUGUCAGUAUGUUACGAGACUGUGUACCAGUUCGGUAUUGAUACGGGACAGUAUGCCAGGUAUAGCAUGGUACCGACCAGUACGACAAAUCUUGAUCUAUAUAGAUGUCAAAAACAAUUCAGAAUGAAAAAUAUGUAUUUGAUGAUUUGCGCAAUGAAUUGAAAGACAUGGUUUAAAAGCUUCUAGAAGCAUUAUUGUUGAGGAGCUAGGGACUGUUUUUGAUGAUUCUGAGAUAUGAAAUUGGGAACAGGAUGGUACAAGAAAGGUUAUCCGUGUCUUAAAUGCUAUCUUAAAAAUGGCCAAUGAUAUUAUUAACCUAAUUGAUAGAGUUUAAGAAUAUUCCAAGUAAAAUUCAUAACGAUAGUUGCUGGUGGCAUUUUUUUAAGGACUAUUGGAGCAACUAAUAGUACCCACAUGCUGCUAAAAGUUUCUCCAUCUAAAUAAAUACCACAUAUUGACCAAAAAGGGAUACCCAAGCAAAAUAUCAUGGCUUGUUGUGACAUGUUUCACUUUUAUUUGGACUAUAGGAGUGUAUUGCUCAUGGUACAACUAUUGAUUAUUAUACAAAGUCCAUUAACAAAGAGCCUUAUAGGACUUCUUAUCUGAUUGGAUUAAGUUUGUGUUAGAAAUUCUACAAGGCAAACCAGAUCAAGGUUCGCCGUCUCAGUAUCGGAUUCCAUACCAGUACCAUCCUAUUACAGUGUCGGUACGUGGUAUAGUACAAUAUGGCAAGGUUUACCAAAUGCCAGUAUGUUAUGAGACUGUAUACUAGUUUAGUACCGAUACGGUACAAUAUGCCAUGUACGGUAUGGUAUUGACCGGUACAGCAAACCUUGAUCUAGAUAGAUGUCAAAAACAAUUCAAAAUAAAAAUAAAUAUUUGAUGAUUUGUGCAAUGAAUUGAAAGACAUGGUUUGAAAGCUUCUAAAAGCAUUCUUGAGGAGCUAAGGACUGUUUUUGAUGAUUCUGUGAUAUGGAAUUGGGAACAGGAUGGUACAAGAAAGGUUUCAACAUUCACGAGAAACAAUUAGUAGGCAUUUUAUGCGUGUCUUAAAUGCUAUCUUAAAAUUGGCCAAUGAUAUUAUUAACUUGAUUGAUAGAGUUUAAGAAUAUUCCAAGUAAAAUUCAUAACGACAGUUGGUGAUGGCAUUCCUUUAAGGACUCUAUUGGAACAACUAAUGGCACCCACAUGCUGCUAAAGGUUUCUCCAUCCAAAUAAAUACCAUGUAUUGACCAAAAAGGGAUUCCUACGCAAAAUAUCAUAGUUUGUUGUAGAAUGUGUUUCACUUUUAUUUGGACUAUAGGAGGGUACUGCUCAUGAUACACAUCUUUUUGGAGGCUAUACAUAGUGAAAAGCUCCAAUUAUUGUAAUAGGUACAUUUUAACUUCGAUGCAUAAGUGUAAAAGACUAACAUAUAUAUAUUUAUUCAGGUAAUAUUACUUGGUGUAUAGAGGGUAUCCUCAUAUGAUGGGAUAUAUUGAGCCAUCAAAGAAGAGAGGUAUCAUCUACCAAAAUUUCAACAUGGAAGUCGAUCAACGGUUAUGCAUGAAAUCUCUAAUUAUGCACAUUACAUGUUACGAUGCACUACUGAGAGGACAUUUGGAUGUUGGUGGAGAAUAUUGAGUACAAUGCCUAGCUUUUCUUAUCACAAACAAGUUCACAUUUUGGUGACUUCCAUACCCAUUCAUAACUUCAUUAGGAAUAAUGCAAUUAAAAAUUUUGAGUUUCAGUCUUAUGAUGAUGAGGAGGAUUUAUUCCAUCCUGAUUGUUUAGAGUUGAUAAACCACAGGAAGAACUGCAGAGCAAAGUCAAACAAUAAUUAACCAUGAGAUGGAUAUUCUCCAUGGUCAUAUCGUGGCUCUUUCUUUAAGAAAUUAUGCUUGUAACAUGGAUAUUAUGCUUUGUAUCUUAGUAUUUUGUAUCUAAGUAAACAAGAAUGUUGUUUGUUAGAAUCAAAAAUUUCUAUUUUUAAUAAUGACAUUCUUUGUUACUUGGCAAUCUCCCUUUAAAAGAUAAUUACAUUGUUUAUUAUAAGAUUUAGAUUCAAAUAAAAUAUAUAAAUUAUAGAUUAACAAUACUUUACAGUUUACACUAUACUAUAUUAAUAUGAAAAUAAUAUUAUAAUAUUAUACUCUAAUUAUAAUAUCGCAUUUAUAUAUUAUAAUAAUAUUAUACAAUGUAAUAAUAUAUUAAUAUGUAAUAAUAAUUGUAAUACUUCAUAUCAAAACAUUACAUUAUAAUUACUAAAUAAUAUUAGAUACAUUAUAUUGUAUUAUAUUAUACUAUAGAAUACAAUAUUAUAUUAUAAUAAUAUUAUAUUAGAUUAUAAUAUUUUAUUACAUCAUAUUACAAUAUUAUAUUACAUUAUAAUAACAUUAUACUAUGAACUAAUAUAUUAAUAUGUAAUAAUUAUAAUAAUAAAUAUAAUACUUUAUAUCAAAAUACUAUAUUAUAAUUAUUAACUAAUAAUAGAUACAUUACAUUGCAUUAUAUUAUGCUAUGCUUUACAAUACUAAUACUACUAUCAUUAUUAUAUCAUAAUAAAUCAUAUUUUAAUAAUAUAACAUUAUUAUAUUUCUAUAAUAUUAUACUAUUAUAUUGCAAUAUUAUAAUACUCUAAUAUUAUAGCAUUCAAAAUAAAUAAUUUGUAAAUUCAAAAUACUUUAUAAUAACAAGUCUUGAUAAUACAAAGAGUUUAAAAAUUGAAAGCACUAUACAAUGUUCUUUAUGGUCAUUUUCUUAUACUAAAAGCACUUUCUCAGUUUAGUUACCAAAUGUAUGUUAAAAUUCUGCAGCACUUUGAAAAAUGUAGUUACCAAACAGAAAAUAGUUUUUUAUUAAAAGCUUUACUGGCAAAAGCUCUUCCAAAAGCUCUACUACCAUUAGCAAUUCCAAACGAUGCCUAAGACUACUUUCUGACCUUCUAUAUACUCUCUACCAUAAUAAAUGACAAGUUGUUAUCAUACUGGUGUAUCUCCCCUUCUUAUCAUCUUCAAUAAUGACAAAAUGCUUAGCAGAGAGAUCAAACAAUGAACAUAUAUGUUGGAUGACCUUUUGCAGUGAUAAGAUAAUGAAUAUGUGGGUGACCCUUUAGAUUUACCAUUUUUUUCUACAGAGGGUGACCAUUUAGACUAAGUCCCUUGAUAUUAUGAAUAGUUCAUUUACAAAUGUCAUGUGUUUCGCGUGCAAAAGAAACAAUUAUACUAGUAAUGCAAAUAUCCAUGUGCAUUUUGUCAUAUUUAAAAUACUUAGAUAAAAUAUGAUAGAUCUCAUAAGUAUCUUAAGCUACACUAGCAUGAAGUGUUCUCAAAUCAUAUUUAUUACUGAACACAAGAACAUAAUAUAGUGGUCUCAUGUCAAGUGAUGAAAAAUUUUGAUUAAAUGAAAAAAGAGAGAACAGAAACUAGGGCCAGGAUAAGGCAUAAACAUCAUGAAGCAUAAUAUUGCAAUGUAGAGAUCCAUUUCAAUCAAACAAAAGAUGACAGCAAAGAGAUAUACACAUAUGGUAUAUAAUAGAUUCCAUGAAACCAAGUUAGAGUAAAUAUUUUCAUAAAUUAUUAUGGCGAUUGAUGUACAAGAACUGAAAUCAAAUAUUCAAUAAUAUUUUUGUAACAAACCUCCUCAAAUAUUCUGGCAAACGACGAUGGCUCAUCCAUCGUUCAACGUCACGUCGUCUAAGUUGCAUUUCAAGUCUCCUUGUAAAACAAAUAGGUAGAAUCAAAUGAAGGUACAUUGCAGGUUUUAUAAUAUUUGAUGUGUGUUUAUGAAAUUCCAAAAAAGAAAAGAAUCUUCUACUAAGUUGGAACUAAGAAAAAGUUUCCCUGCAAUGCUAAAUGUAAGGAUCCAAUAAGAAAAAAAUUAGGUUUUGUUAUCUGCUAUAUAAAUCAGAACACUUGGUUAUCCAAUAUACCUUAUGUCCCAAGAAUUUAAAAAUCAAGGUGUGACUUUUACUGGUAACUGAAAGGUACAGUAUGUACUGUGGUACAAAGGCAGUUCAAGGUCAGCACCAACCAGUUCGAAUGAGCAGCAACACACACACAAAAAAAAGGAGGUUGUAUCGUGUGGCACGAGAUCGGUAUGGGUACGUAAAAGAUCACCCUACAGAACUAUCCUGAGGGGCACCAUGUACCCAUCCCUAGCUGGAAUGGUACAUAUAGAGCGCCAUGGGGCAGUAUGAGCAGUACAUUACUGCUUGAUAAACAUAUUCAGAUGGCAAAAAUAUAAGUCACGAAUACAUGGUGGUAUUUGUUGAUCUUUUUACAUCUAUACCUACAUUCCAAUUUCAUUUUCCUGACUAAAACUAGACAACUGAAGUCAGAUACACAGGCCUGCUUAUGUAAAUACACUCAUACUAUUUGCACACGUGCACACAUAAAUAGAGUGAUGGAAUUGAUGGAUACUUAUAUUAUGUUGUAAAAAUUGUUUAUCUCUAUCUGCGAUAUGUAAUAGAGAGCAAAAUCUCCAAAAAAGAGACAAGUCAAAGGGCUUAUUAUAGUACAACUUGUAACAAGCAAAAUAGUGGUUGUAAUCGUACCAAGGAAUUGCAUCAUUAACAAUUAUUUUUAAAAAAAAGAGCUUCAGUAAGAUGAGUUAUAAUCACGUAAUUUGCACACCUUCUUCCGAGGGCUUGGAGAAAGUUCUGCAUAUUUCCAAUGAGCAAUGCAAAUAACAAGAGCCCCAAUCCAAUGAUGGCCAUAGUGAACAGAAUUUCCCACACAAAAUAACUUGGAACUUGGUUACCAGCUAAGGUACUGAUUUGCUAGGACACAACAUAAUAUUUAAAAGGUGAGAAAAAAAUAUAUCAAAGUAUGUGCACAUUGCUCAUAAGAUUUGCAAGAAAUAGCAUACAAAGCUUUUCUGAUUGUUUUGAUAAACAUUCAAAUACUAACUAAACAGACAAAAUAAUCAAAGUUGCAAAUUUAUGUGAAUCAUAGGCCCAAGGUUUGCUGUACCGGUCGGUACCAGUCGGUACCGAGCGUACCGUACCCGUACCGAUGGGUACCGGUAUCGGUACACCAAUGUCGGUACGGUCGGUACCGAGCGUACGGUACCGUACCGACACUCGGUACGCCUAUACUGGUGCGGCACCGGUACGGGAUUCGGUACCGGUACGGCGAACCUAUUCAUAGCCACACAGAAUGAAAAAAAAAACACUAAAAAUAAAUUGGGACACUGGUUACCAGCUAAAGUGCUGAUUUGCUGGCAUUGACAUAACACUUAAACAAAGGUAUACAGAUUACAUUAAAGAAUUUAUAGAAAAGCCUAACAGGUUGCAAGAAAGAAGGUGAGAAAUGCUACAGCUUUUCUGUUUAUAUUUCUACCCAUUCAAAAUUCAAACUCAUACAAAUAGAACAAAAAUUUCAAGUUUCAAUUUCACAUGAAUGGAAGCAAUAUCACGUAUUUCAAAACAAGAAGUUAUACAGUGCGGACUUCCUUAAUGUUAUCAUGUCAUGUAUCGCUGUGAUUUACAUAAAUUUAAAGUCUCUCGAGCAAGUCAAAUCUAUGAGCCUCACAAACUAAAAUUCAAAAAUAUUAAGCAAGUAUUAACUGACCACCCUAAUGGUCAUCCCUAUAAAUUCUACAUCGAGGGCCACCUCCUCCAUCAAUGCAAAAUCCUUACAAAUUCUAUGGAUGUUUUGUAUGUAUCUUCCUUUUUUACUUUUCUAACCUUGCACGUGAAUCUGAACCUCUUCUGAACAGACCUCUCUUUGGUCUUCAUUGUGCAUGAUCAAACUAUACCAUUAGUUACCCAUCUUUUAGCGUCCACCAGUGCAAUGACUAGACCUGCUUAAGUAUCCUUCCAAAAUAUCCUUAAGUUUCCUUCCAAACUCGCUCUUCUAGGAAGCACAGAAACUUCAAGUUGCAUGCCAUGUUUGUAUCAUAUAUGUAUCAAAUACCAGCACUCAUGGAUACAUCUAGGUUACAUAUCCAAUAUUUAUUUUAAGAAUCAUAUCUUUUUAAAAUAAAAAAAGUAUUCCACAUACUUCCCGGAUACAAUUGAGAUACUUUCCCAAUACCUCUAGGAAUGAGGGUAAGGGCAUUUUCUUUCCAUUUUUUUUAAAUGAAUGUCAACCUUUUAAUGUCAAUGGUCAAUUUUGGAGUUGGGAUCUUGAAAUUUUAAUGUGAAAUAUGGAUCAGGGUCCAAGGAUUUGAGUGAUAACUCAAUAAUGAUUUUGUGGAACUUGAUGUUACUACAUAAAGUAGGAAGUACGAAUUAUAUUAUUUUGAUAGUGCAUGUGAUUUAUGGAUGCUAUCUUUCAUAUAUAUGAAAUAAAUAUAUUCAUUGUGCUCGUCAAAUUGGUGUUGAGAGCAGUACCAACAUAUAAACCUGUUCAUGGGCUCAAAAAACUUGCUUAAUCCUAAAUAAACAUAUAAAAACCCUAAACAACACUGAAAAGCAACAAAAUGAAUGAAAAAUGUCUUGGUAGGAUAUUAGGAUGCUAUAGUGUAUCGAGUGUCGGUAUGCAAGCAUCUCGAAAUUAUAUCGACCCAAUCCCAACCAGAAAGUUUCUUCUUGAUUAAUUCCUAAAGCUACUAAAGGCACUCAAAAUGAAUUCAAAGAAUCUUACUUUAAUAAUAUCAUUUAUCCUACACUCCAAGCUGGGCAAAAGCCCCAAGUAGCAACCCUAUUGCACCAAGGAGUACUAUAUAUAUGGUAAUACAAUCCGAAUACGACAUAAAAGGGUGUAUUAUUAAGGCUGGCAAAAUAUGACCCGACCCAUGUUUGACCUGCAAUAAGCAAGUUUGGGUAUGGGAUAAACAGAUUUAAGUCAUAAACAAGUUGACACAUUUAAAACGUUUAAUAAUCGGGUUGGGUUCAAGUUUCAGCCCCUUGACCCGUUUAACCCAUUUAAAAAUCAAGCCGGGUUGGGCUAUGCAAGUUAAGCAGGUUACCUGCUUAUUAAACAAGUUGAGGAUGAUAGUGAUAUUUCGAUGAUUAACACAACAAUUGAGUGAACAUCAAAUUAAUAAUACAGUUUAACGUGAUACAUCACUAAUGAAUACGACACCCUCGAUACAUUCAUUAUAUAUUGAGAGAAUGAGAUCAAGACGACUUCCAAUGAUUAACAAUGAGAUAAAAUUUGUAGUAGAAAAAAGAUAAAGAGCUUUCAAAUCUAAUUCAGCAAAGUUUUAAGUGAAAUCUACUCUUAAGGGCAAAACAGUAAUUUUCAUUGUUAAGGGUAUGAAGUUCUAUCGUGGCAUACACUCAAAAUUACUUGAAAUAUGUUCUAUUGAUCAUAUGAAUUAGUCUAACCUUAAGAUGUAGGAAAUUGUGAGUUGAGUCGACCCCAAAGAAGUUUGGAGUCGACCCUGAUGCAUAUGGCACGGAGUGGCAUACUUGGGACAGUGUAUGAGUCGACCCCAGAAGAAGUGGAGUCGACCCUGGCACAUUUUGGAACCUCCUGGCACAUCCUUGGAAAAAUGGCAUAGAUGAACAGUAAGUGAAGCCGACCCCAAGUAUCUUUGAGCCGACCCCAAGUAUCCUUGAGCCGACCCCAGGAAGACUUGAGCCGACCCCAGUGGAGCCGACCCCAAGAGAACAUGAAUCGACUCCAGGAUAAGUAUUCAAAAACCAUGUCUCUGGAAUCCCUGAGAAGGCCGACCCCAAUGGAGCUUGAGUCGACCCCACUGUAGCACGGGUCGACCCCAAGAAAGCAUGAGUCGACCCUAGUGAAAACAGCCGAAAAACAAGGUUCUGUGAUUCCUGAGAAGGCCGACCCCACUGUAGCAGGGAUCGACCCCAGAGAAGGUUGAGUCGACCCCAGAGAAGAUUGAGUCGACCCCAAGGCUAAUGAACAGUAACUUGAGUCAACCCCAGGAAAGUUUGGGUCGACCCCAGCACGGGCAAGAGCAUAACGGCUAGUUCUGCAGAAGCACUUUUUCAGCUUCCAACGGCUAGUAACGGCUAGUUUUUCAAAUCUAACCAAUGGGGAGUGGCCAAUAGAGGUUGGAAAGUAUUUAAAAGACACUAUUCAUCAGAGGGAAGAAUCCUUUUUGCAAAAAAUCUAUAGAGCAUUCAAGAGAAAGCAAGCCCUAGUGUUCUUCAUCAAGUUGCUUCAAUCAAGUCCCAAAAGAAGGUGCUUGAGCAAUCAGAAAGUGCAUUCAACAGCUCUACCAACCCAUUGUGAAGUGAAGUAACCUGAGCAAAGAAGAGAAGAACAUCCUCAAAGCGAUAACUAUUUCUCAUCUCUUCUUUUAGUUCAUAUUUGUUAUAUUUGCUCAUUUAGGAGCUUCAAACUUCUUUCUUUUUAAAUCUCUUGUAAGGUUGGUUGGUGAAUCCGUAAAACCAACGGUGUAGGUUGUUGGUGAGCCCGCAAAACCAACAUAGGUUUUUGGUGAUCCCGGAAAAUCAAAGUGUAAAGAUUUUUGGAUUGUGAGCCCGAAAAACAAUCCAACUGUAAUCCACGGGAUUAUAGUAAAUUUCCAAGAGGACGCUUGGGGAGUGGACGUAGGUGCUUAGGAGAGCACCAAACCACCAUAUUUCUUGUGUGUUUGCCUUAUGUGUCAUUCUAACUUCACUACACGCACUCAAUUAGUAUUAACUAAACUACUCAUUCAUCUAUCAAUUUGAUUAAGGGAUUAAAAAUUUAGAAAACCCAAUUCACCCCCCCCCCUCUGGCUUGUCAUCUUGGGCAACACAAGUUAAUAGAUUAACAAGUUAUAUCGGUUAUACAGGUUAAUAGUUUAACAGGUUAAGCAAAGAUACCUAUUUAUUAAACAGGUUAAACGGGUUAGGUCAGAUUACAUGUUUAUUAAAUAAGGCAGGUUCAGGUUUCAAAUUCUUACCUGUUUAAUAAAUAGGUCAUAUUCAAGUUUCGAAUUUUCUGACCCGACCCGCAUUUGACCCGACCAGUAUAUGAUCCGACCCAACCCGACUGCCACCCCUAUGUAUUAUGUAAUAGAUUAUAUUGCUCAUACACCUUAGCACAAGCCCAUGUUGCAUUGCAUAUAUUAACAUUCAACAAGACAGGUCAACAUACCUCAGGUCAUUAUUAGUCAAAAGACUCAAAACAACUGAGGUUCGAAGCAAAAUUCAGUAAUAGAUGCUUUAAGUAAAAAUACUCCAGCACGCCAAUCCUACGAAAUAAAUUCUAAGGCUCAUUUCAGGGUUUUGAUUUAUUGCUCACCAAUGGGCAUUUGAUUAGAUCUUUAGAAAAAUAUUGUCUUGCUUGUCAUUUAAACCUUUUGUCCAAACAAGAUACAUCAAUGUGUUCAAUGGAGUAACAGAAAUUCCAGAAAAGGCACAAAAUAAUUUUGAGAGAAAAUGGACCUCCCAAAUAAUUCACAAACUCAAUCAGUUUUAAAAAUAACCUGAACAAAUGCACAUCCAUUCAUACUCUUUUUUUUUGCACAAGGUGAUGAAACAAAUACACUUGAAAAUAGCUAUAUUUGUUAAUAAAAUUUCUAUUUCAACAAUACAAAAUCAAAAAUAAUAUUACCAAAAGGAUAGACCAGUGCAUGAGGCUCCCGCCAGAUCUGGGAAGGGUCAGAUUACGCAACCUUACCCCCACAUAUGGAGAGACCAAAAAUAACAUUACAAGAUACUACUAUUUUAUAAAAUUAUUAUCACCUUAAUUUCUUAUUAUGUUUGAAGCAAGCGAUGGGGUUAUAUAGUGGUACUUUUGGCAUUAAAACUUAAAAAUAGUAUUGAUCAAAAUGGGAGCCUCCAAAAUGUAUGAUUAUAUUUUACUUGAUUACCUACUAAUUUCUAGUAGCUGCUGCUCGAGAGAGAAGCAGUUGUUUCUUUGUGCAAUUUUAACUUAAUAUUUUUUUAAUUAAUUAAUUAAUUAUUGUAGUGAUAAAAAAAAUACUUUGUAAAAUUUUAAAUAACUAUGAUUUGGUUUCUAUGAUUAAAAUAGUAUAAAUUUAGUUAUUUAAGUCUACAAGUUAUAUGGAUGAUUCACUAAUUACUUCAAAGGGACUAUGGAACCGACAAUUAGCCAAGAAAGCAAAGUUCUAGGACUAAUGGUCCAGCAUAAGGAGAUUCACCUGAUGACUUUGUAUAAAAUCUCGCUAGAGGAAUAGAAGCAAAACUUUAAAGGUUUAUAAUGCCUGCAAAAAUCACUAUUAUUUGGGUAAUGUGCAGCAUGUGACAAUGUUUGCUCCGAUUGCUGGGGAAUGAGAAUGCAACAUUUAGAUGGUAACUAAGAAUUGAGACUACUAGGCAAUGAAAGUAGGGAACUCAUUGCAUAUUUAUCCAGCAUGUAUAGUGCAUUCCAGAGAAAUGUAAUCUCAAAAAUAAUUGUCAGGGAAUAGUUUAUAAAUUUAUUGUGAUAGUGGUAUUAUUUAGAGGGCAAGUAGAUGGAAUGGGGUACCUGAAAUCCCCAGAAUGAGGAAUAUAUAUAUCGUGUAACAAUACUGUGCUUUGUUGUUAAUUCGACAGCUUGUUGAUAAAUGCCAUAAACAAAAUGUCCAUCACCAUAGUUAAAGCAAUCACUAGAAUAAGAAUCAUUCAACCAAUUUGUUCUAUUUUUAUCAUUCUGUUCAACAAUAUUCCCACGUCCACAGUCUAUAUAUGAUGCACAAGAUGGAAAAAGAGAACUGGAAGAGCAGGCAUCCCUUAGACAUUGAUUUAUCCUCUGAAAGGAAAAGAAAACAAAAAUUAAAAUCUAUCCAUUACCAUCAUUACACCAGAAGAUAGUUACAAAUAUCACCAUAUAUAUAACAGAUGACUAAUGGUUGAAUGAAGAUACCAUGGUAAAUUAAUAAAAAGAAACAAGAAAUUAAGCAUCCUAGCAUAUAAAACAAGGUAAGUUCAUAGAUAAACCAAACUAGAGCAUGCUGAUUUAAAAGUUGAUUUUCGAUAACUUAAAGAGGGGAGGUUUAAUGUCUCAGUCUUAUCAAACAAAAUGCAUAUGAAAGUUUGAGAGAGAAGCUCUUAUAAAUUAUGGAAGUAACACCACGCCAAAAGCACUUAGAAAUUAAUACAGAUACAACCUGGAAAUAGGUUGUGCAUGAAUUUCUAGAAAGUGAUCUAUAAAACCAUAGACCGAACCAUAGUUUGAAAUUUCACUAGAUUCUAGAAUCCAAAAUGGAAACGGAAACUUUACAUUUUCAGUCAAAGAGAUUUGUAAACAGAACCAGUUUCCAAAUUCUAGCUAAAACUAACUGAUGAGACCAAAACAACUUUGUGUAUUUACUAAGUAUGAUAACGUUUGUCACUUCUAUAUUUUUUAAUAUGUCAAGAGGCACUGGAAGCAUUUUAUCUUAGAUUAAGCUUAGAUUUAUUAGGAAGAAUUGGUUGUUCCAAUACAAAUCAGUGAAAAGUAAGUUUUUGAGCAUAAGUUAGGCCACUGUGUGACUCAAGUCUCAUAGGCAUCUCAAUUGUUAUGUGUUAUAUUUGCAUCAAAUAAUAAAAUCAUAUAGUACAUUCUAAAGACGAUCUCAUAACAUUUUAUUUAAAAAGGAAGAACUUUUCUGAUAUGAAAUAACUUAAACAAUACAUAUAAAGGUCCCAAAACAAACAAAUAUUCAAAAAAUUCCAGCUUAUUGUCUUGAUUUGCUAUAUUUUUUUAUUUUUACUUUUUCCUUUCUAGUUUCAAUUGACAUUUUCUGGAUUUCUUAUUAUUCCAACUGUAAUGGCUGAAAAUGGAACUAGAACUACCAAAACCAAGACUGAUCUGAUUUGGCAUAACACAAAAUUGAGUCUUCAAACUUGGAUGGAACCUUAGCAAGUUAUAGGGCCAGAUUAGUUCCUAACAGCUUUAACUAGAAAAAGAGAACAGAUCGCCUUAACAUCCUUUUCUGUAGGAUAGGCUCUAGAAGGGUUUCUCUAACAUUUCUUUUCAUAAAUAAGUUGGCUUACAUCAAACAGAUAAUAAUGGUGUGUUCCUUAAUGAUGAAUUAGAAGAAGAAAUAUGUAUGCAUGAAACAACUUGAAGGAUUUUACAGUAAAGGUCAACAAUAUACCAUCUACAGCUCAGUAAGAUUUAUUUUACCAACUCAAGCAAGCCCCGAAGCUAUGGCAUGAGAAGUGCGAUAACUUUAUCAUAUAGUUCUGAAGUUCAGAAGAAUGGAAAAUGACUAUAUAGUAAAACAAUUCAAAAAAAAAUUGUGCAAUAUAUACAUGCCAUGCUAAUGCAAAAUACAGCAUAUGGAACUAACUUGGAAGUUCUAAAUGAAAUUAAAACUUUCAUUCCUAGUUACUUUGAUAUGAAAGAUCUAGGUGUGACCAUUUUGAUCCUAGACAAGAAACUAAUUAGAUCUUCUGAAGGUUAAACUCAAAGUUGUGCUAUUGAAAAGAGGUAAUAGUAUUUCAAUUCCUAUAAUAACAAACAUGUUUCACACCUUAUGAUCUUAAUUCACAUGUUAAGAAGAAUUUAUGUGAGCCUGUCUCGCAAUGUAAACACUCUUUAAUUAUAGGUUUCUUGUUAUGCAUGAGAAAUAGAACAUGAACUCACAUACUUUACAGAAAAAUUGAGUAGAUGCGCCAGUAACCAAAAUAAAGCUAUAAGAUGCAAUGAAAACAAAGAUGACAAUUAGCAGGAAAAAUUACCAUUUUAAUUGGAAAAGGGAUUAAGAAGGAUAAGAUCAACAUAAACUUGCUGGUUCAAGCUUAUGCAGGAUAGAUAAGAUAAUUUAUAUGAAUAAACAAUUUUUUUAAGUUACAAGAUUUAGGAUCAUAAGCUUCUGAGAUUUUAUGUACGAAGAAAACAGUCUGUAUACAGUCUCAUCUCUCAUGACAGAAAACUAUAAACUUUGGUUAACUUAUGUCAUAGGAGACGCUUAUAGAUACCCCAUCGUAACCCUUUUGAAGCAAGAGAUAUGAGCUAGAGGAGAAGAAAUCCACCAGUAAGAAACAAAACUCAGGUCAUUAUUAAUUAAUGGGAGUAUGUGAUCAUCAGAAAAUGUUGAGACUUUCAUUUGGCUCUUUGUAUUAUUUGCGCUUCUGAGAUGAAAAAAAGUUCCUUAUAUCCAAUGCUAUCACUGCACUGUCCAUGUAGGCUCUAUCCACAAGGAAUUCUAGAGGUUCCCCCUAGCCAGAUAGUUUUCAUAGCAGAUCCUUCUCUUGCUUAAAUUUGCCUCAACCAGGAGAUCAGCACCAAAUAGAGAGUCUAAGUCAAGCUGACAGCAAGUCAUAAAAGAUGCUCAAUCCUUUUGCCGAUUUGAUGAUGAUGACAAUGAUGAUGAAAGCUAUCAGGAUUACUAUCUAUGUAGGUUCUAUCCAAGUCUUGGGGAAUUUUAUAGGCUUAUCCUACCAUAUAGCUUUUAUGGCAGGUCCCUCGCUAGCUUAAAUUUGCCUCAACCAGGAAAUCAGCACCGAAUUUAAAGUCUAAGUCAAGCCGACAACCUCACAUAAAAUAAGCUCAACCCUUCAGCCAAUUUGAUGAUGAUGUUGAUGUGCUACCACCCAUUUAAUGCUAGUUUAUUUCACAUUAUGAAUUAUAUAUAUGUCCACACAUCAAGAUACAUAACCUAAAUAUUAUAGAACCUAAGCAAACCCAAUAAUUUAAAAUUUAUAUUAUCUUCGAUAUUUUAUUUUUUUUUACCCUGCAUGUGAGCAAUGAAACUUCAAAGUCAAACUAUUACUAUAGUUGUUGCCUUGCUCCUCCAUUAGAUACAAUAAGAAAGAUUAUCUGACAGACGAAAGUCUAGGGAAAAAAAUGAAUUCUACAUCGGACAACAUUAACUUCUAAGAUAAGCAAGACCUUAGUUUUCUGCCUAUCCAAUGCAAAGCAUCUUAAGCAUUGGUGCAGAGUGCAGACUAUGUCAUGAUGUUGUAUAAUGCAGGUGUAAAGUCUAGAAUAUGGACCUUGACAGUAAGGCACCAUACUCAGAUCAAUAAACCUGUCAGUGCCAACACAGCAAGAGUAGGAUGCACUACCACGUUUUGGCAUAGUAUGGUACAGAAAAGUGUAUCGGUAUGGUAAGGUACAGCCCAUAUGGACUGGUAUGGUAUGGCACUUCAAUCCAUGAUUAUAAUGCUUAGCCAUACUAUAUUUGAUCAUGCCGCUGCAUCCCUCCAAUCAUAAAUUACAUACCAAGUCUUGUUGUGCUGACUAAUGCAACUCAAACACCAAUAACAGAAAUGAUCCAUAAGAAAACAUAGUGAAACUAAAUAUUUUAUUUCAUAUUUUAAGUUGCAAAGCUAUCAAAAGUUCAUAUAAACAAAAAGAUUGUACAUUUUCAAGCCUCAUAACAAUCAAUAUGAAGCACCAUAGAAUCUUGCUCUAAGUUGGAUGAAAGAUCAUCUUCUUAUGUUUGCAAACAGUCUUUAGUGCAUUAGGUAUUAUUGUACAUUCAUUACUCUUAUGUCCAGCUAAUGUAUGAAAUAAGAUUGUGAACCCUUCAACUAAUAGUGCAAAGCACUCUUAACUACUUGAAUUACAGUUUGCUUUCUUCACAACCUUGAAUGAUAAAUAAAAGAACUCAUAUCGUUCUUCCAAAACAACUUUUUUGGUUAAACAAAGGACUAUCCAAGUGCUAUACUAACCAUGCCUCACAUAAUACAAAACUUCCAUAAAGUUUCACAAAGAUGAUGCACCAUGCUAAGGAAUAAGUAAUUGCUGCACACCUGUAACCCAAAGAGGUACCAAGACGAACCAACAACAUGACUAGCCAACAUAAACAUAAGAAGAUUAAUAACGAAGUUAGCCCAAGCUGACUCAAAAAUGAAGCCACUUGCAGACUGCCCAGCAAGCAAGGGAAGAAAUCUAACAAUUCUUGGGGCAUACUGAAGAAGAACCGUGGCACGUAAAAGAUUUUUUGCAUAGUUUGCUGCUGAUGAUCCCACAUAUUUUGGUAUGACUAGUAAUAUCAUUACCUGCAUAAAAGAUAAAAAUGAAGAGACCUUUGGUAGGGACACACAAGAAGAUCAAGGGACUGCUGCAUGUUACAAAACUGAAAUCCAAAUCUCAUUUUUCUGCAUUAUGCUUUUAAAAAGAAAGCUUCUAUAAACACAAUCCUGCACCAAUGUUAUACAUAAAAGUAUCAUAGAAACUGUAGGAUAUAUACAAAAUCCACGUAUGACAUGAACCAGCAGCAAUUACAAAAUAAGCAUCCCUGUGAGAGUAUAUUCAAUGGAGAAACUACAGAAGUCAAAUCAAAGUGCACAACUAACAAACCCAAUGUUGAAACCUAGUUGUUUCCGAUCUCAGUAUAAUGGCUUAGGCUCAUAUUUGAUGGCAUCAAUUUACAAUGACAGGGAAAAAUAAAAGUACAAGAAAUUGCUGUUAGAAAGGUGAGGAUAAGUAACUGUAAAUCAUUUGUACUUUUAGAAUGGUGCAUCAUUUCCAUUACUUCAGUGUUAUGUUAUCAAAGUUUGUUCUUUAUACCAAGCUGCAAUAGAGCCACUAGUACAUUUUAAGUUUAGACUAAUUUUCUCAUUAUAUUUAUAAUUUUAUUAUCACUAAAAUAUGCUAUGCUAUGUAAUAUGGGUUCAUACAGUUGUUAGAAUGUGGGCGUGUACUUAGGAAUCAGAUAAUUCUUAUACCAAAUCUUAACACAUUGGAACUCAACAUAAAAGGAUUCAAAAUUUGGGUUGGAGUAAAAAGAUCUCUUGUAUUUCCUACCAUUUUAGUGCUUGUACAGUAAGCUUUUAAGUUUUAAUUUUUAGUCCUUGGACCAUGGUUCGUUGUACCACCUGAUUUGGUGCAUAUAGAGCCAUAUCGGGGGCAGGCCAGCAUAAUUCCGCCCCUCGGUUUGAGAAACCGAAAAGGGAGGGGGAGAGGGAGAAAGAGAGAGCCUCUCUCUCUCUACCUCCCUCUCUCUCUCUCUCUCUUUUCUUUCUCCUUCUCCCUCUCUCACCAGCUCUACUGUGUUGAGACGGGCUCAGCACAGAACGACACAGUGCCGUACCGAACCGUGCCGCCAGGCAACCAGUACAGAUCCCAGUACCAGCACAGUAUACCUUUCCUUGGGCACACAUAGGCCUUAUUUAUGAACACAACUAAGUGUUUUCAUACAUGCUUAUAGACAUAUAAGGGCUGAAAGUUAAAUGGCUGUAAAACCAAAUACCUAAAAUAGAAUGCCAAUCGAUAGGAGGCUACAUAAUAAAUUGUAAUCCAUCCAAGAAUGAGAUGUUAGUUUUGCUCUUUUAGAAAAGGCAUCAUGGGAGCUGCACACUCUGAGCCUAAUAAAUUGCAAUCCUAAUCCUCUCUCUCUCUUGAUGCCCACCGUGUUGUUUCUCCUCCAUUAUAUACUCCACCUUGGAUCUGUCUAUCUGCGUUCUGACCACAGUCCACAACUCCACAUCAUCCACAAGAACCAGUCUACUAUUAGUCCACUCUUGCCACGUACGUAUCCUCCGGUAUCCUCUCCUCUUCUUCUUUCCUCUUUUUUUUUUUAGAUACCUACUCCCCCUCUCUCCUACAUCGGACUUUCCAAUCCACAGUCAGAUUGCUUAGUGUCAUACUUGACUCCUACACUUAUCUCUGGCACCUAUAUACAGUACCCAUGCCAUGCCGUUUUAGCAUGGGGUACAUCAAGGCAAAGGGAUGAGUCCAGGAAUCUUAGAAGCAAUGUCAAGUAAAGGCACCAAAAUUUUAAGUUGCUUAAUAAAAUUUGAAUCCAUAAGUGGUUGCUCACCAAAAAUUUAAUUUGCUUAAUCACAUUUACAUCCACAAGUGGUUGCCCACUAUGUAUAUUAAGGCCAUAGAAAUCGACCCCAAUACAUGAUUGGAAUAACAAAAUGCAAGCACCUAACAUGACCAUCCACCAAAACCAUGUAGAACAGUAACAACUUGCAACACCUACCAACCCACCUAACCCCACUCCUAUACACAAACAUGUAAUAUUUCUAUAAUUCAGUACCCUUUUGAGGAUUCUGAAGCACAACAAUUCGUACACAGUAACAAGUUGAACAAAGUUUACCCAUUACAAGUUAAGGUAAUCAAUCAACUAACCUAGGUCCUAACCAAUAAUUCGGUUAACUACUGAACAAGUAACUUUGUGGGCAAGGUGAGUGUUACACCAGCAAUAUCCAUACAUUCUUUUAGUAAUAUCUCAUUCUACUUGGCACAAUAGAAGAUUGGAAGUGUAAUUCUAACCUAGAUAUUCCCCAUCAAAUUAAAGAUAAGCCAAAAUAACCAAAAACUUGCAAAAGCAUACACUCAUUGCAUCAUAUUUCAUGCCAUUUUUACUAGCUUCUGACCAAAUCCUCAACAAAGAUACCCACUACCUUAGAGCUCAAGAUCACAAGUAAUAUUUUUAGGGAAGCUAGGUAGCAACACCUAGGCUUCCCAUGUGCUUCCAUUUGUUAUUAUGGCCACAAAAUCCUAAAGUAUGAGAGGGAAAAGGACCCUAUAGCUUCCAAAAUAAAAAAGAUCAUUUUUAGGAUUAAGACUCUAGUAUAGUACCCUCAGACUAGCCAUAUUGUACCAGAUCAAGGACUAGUACAGAUGAUCUUGACAUGCCCCAAUUUUAGCAAACUAGGCCCUAACUGCCCUAUUGCACCAUAUAACACCAGGGCAUACCACACCACACCAUGCUGCAUUGAUGUGUAUUGAUCACAUACCAUCUCUCAUGCUUGGUAAAUCCAUUUCCCUUUCUAAUGAUUUCUGUUGAGGCAUGCCAACCUGUAUCGCCCUUGUAUCAAGUACUGUAAUAUACUAGACCAUGAUUGGAACGAGUCCAUACAUCAAAUAAUUAAAUCCUUGCUUUAUUCCUAAAAAUGCCCUCCAAGAGCCAUGACGCUCUAGCCUAUUUGCCUAAGGUCUCAUAUCCUCCUCCUACCUCUCACAACCGCUUUAUUCUCAAAAAGAACCAUUGCCCUCAAGGAUGCUUGCCAAGCUCUCAUAUCCCUUUCUACUUCUCGCAAUACCUCCAUCCACUCCAUGUGCUACCACACCAAUUCAUGCAUUCUAGCCUUUUCCCUUCUCUUUUCACCUCCUCUCCCUCUGCUCUAAGGCAGAAUUUACGUGCCAUCUACAAUAUCAAGUGAAUUGUUGAUAUAAUCUUCCCAAUCAUCAAAGUUUUCCUUGCAUGUAUAGGAUCCAUUGGCUUCAGUAUUUCCUUUCUACUUCUUUUCAAAAGCCUUAACAAAAAUCAUUCUCGAAGCAUAAGGUUGUGAUGUCCUUUUUGCAAUUAAGAUGUCAACAAAGAGGAGCUAAGCCUAAAGAUUUGCAGACUUGCUUUCUUUCUAGCAGCAUAAAUACUUUGGGAUCACCCGAUGGAUCUAGAUAGGAUCUCAUGGCACCAAUUUCAAAUAUUUCUUUAGGGAGACAAUAAAAAGGUGGGAUUUCAUUGAAUAACUAGAGCAAAAUUCAAAGCAUAGCAGAGAUCCGGGGCCCAAAUUCAACACUCUUAACACCCAAGUAGAGACAAAAAGGCUGCUACUUCGCAACUCUACCAGCCUAAAAAUCAAAGGACAAUAAGAUUAAAACAAACCCAUAGAAAGAGGCAGUCCUAUUGUCCAUGCCCAAAACAAAACCACCUUUACCUAUGACAGUUCGUCAGGUGCCUAACCUAGCACACUUCAUUGGGACACCUCCACCUAGGACACUUCAAUCCUUGAUUGAAUGUCCAUGGUGUAAGAAGGAUAUGACAUAACAAUAUUGCAAGGUUACUCAAUUUUCCAAUUUUUGUAUGUCAAACUUGUGUAGCAGAAUGCCAGUCAAAGCUACAAAUGUAUGUAGGAUUGUGCUAUUAUAUAUAUUCAAGAUUCAAGUAGUUUAAUGGUGCAUAGACUUGCAAUAAUAUUUGCACUUAUAUUUAAAAAAAUAAAAAAAAGACAAAUCACAAAUAAGAGAAAUUCAUACCUGAGGAAGUGGCAACACAACAAACACAUCAAAUAUGAAGUAACCACGAAGAUAAUGAAGUGCAAUUUUUUUUGGCUGAUCAACUAAAUCCCCAGCACCAACAACUCUGGAUUCAGGUGCAACAUAUGCUAGUCUGAACUGUAGAAGAUAAAUUAAAUGUAUCAAUACAGUAAACUACUGCACUUUAAGCAUUUUAUGUUUAAGAUGACUAGUCUUAAUUCAGGUAAUUGACCUAAACCGACAUCUAUAAGGAUAAAUAAUAACUAGCAGUUUCUCUAUUCAUACCCUAUGUCACACGGACUAAGAAUAGGAUUCUUUCAAAUAUCUAAGAAUUUCAUUACUGCAUCCAAGUAACAUACUAAUAUCCAUGUUCAAAUAUCUAAGGAAAGAACCAUGCAAAGUCACUAGAGCUAGUUAAAAACAAGGUCGGCAGAACCACCCCGAACCGGGCGGUUCCGGCCGUCCCGAGCCGUUCCGGUGUCUGUACGAUUCUGAAACCCAUUGACGGAGCCGGAGAAGGAAAAGAAAAGAGAGAGUGAGAGGGGGAGGAAGGGAGAGAGAGAGGGCGGGACGCCGGCGGAGUGCCAGCGGAGGCCAACAGAGGCCAUUCGAAACAAGGUCAGCGGCCGGGGCCUUAAAAAAAUUCACGAUUUUUAAGUGAAGUCGGCAAAUCAAGGCCGGCCUCCACCGGUACUUUGCCAGCGUCUGCCACCCUCCUCUGGCCCGCCCUCCCCCACUUGCUUUCUUUCUCUUUUCCUCUCUGCACAGUCCCUCUCUCGGUACAAGGCCGGCACAGUCCGUACCAAUUCAUCCCGCCAGAAAACCAGUAUGGUGCCCGGUACCAGUUCCUCCCACCUUGGUUUAAAACCAGCCCAAGCACUAUUUAAAAAAUUGUAAAUAUCACAAAUUGAUGAUAAAAGAAUCUCCUUUAGAAGGACUUGGACCCAAUUGUAAACUACUAGGAGUAGAUAGAAACACAACUAGAGCUAGUAAAGUAAAUGGUAACAAGAAGUUGGAUGCCGUGUUGCCAUGAUGAUCAAAAAUUCCUAUAAAUCUGAAAAAAUGAGUAAACUUAUCUAAAACUAUAACUAUUAGCCAAAGAAAUUGGAUAUGGUUUGGAUCAAGAUGAAGAUUUAAGGAGAGCCAAUAUCGUGUCAAAGCUCCCAAUACAGGUAUCUAAUAACAAUUUAAACCUGAUAGAAAAGCUCGAUCGGAAAUGUAUAUUAAAGCACCAUAUUAAAUAUAUCAACUAGGAGAGUUUCAAACCAAAUAUACUAUUUCGAGAAAAUAUGUUCAACAUUACUGUUGUUUGAUAUGGUUUACACAAAAAAUUCUAUCACGCCCCCGCUUACGCGGGGCACGUGAGGCACCCAAUGCCCACGUGGGGGCCACAUGAGAGGAAAAAUACGGAGCUCCCCUGCCAGAUAUUGUCCAGUUCCGGGGCUUCACGCAAGCGUCCUUCACCCCUUCCCGAUUUUGUUUUUCUUCCAAAAUGCGUAUGCAGGAUUUGGAGACACCCGCCUCAUAUGCCAGGCUCUGCAACGAGUCUUUCUGAUGUGGGACUAUUGGGCCUCACACCUUUCCCACCAUCAGACAAGAGCCGUCCUCGGCUCUGAUACCAAAUGUCAUGCCCCCGCCUCCGCGGAGCACGUGAGGCACCCAGUGCCCACAUGGGAGCCAUGUGAGGUAUUUACUGAUCACAAAAGCUUAAAGUAUAUAUUUACCCAGAAGGAGUUAAACAUAAGGCAGAGGAGAUGGCUCGAACUAUUGAAAGAUUAUCAUCUAAAUAUUAAGUAUCAUCCGGAAAAGGCUAAUGUGGUGGCAGAUGCCCUCAGUAGGAAGUCAGCAGUGGGCACAACAGCUUUGCUCACUACUCAAAAGCAAAUUUUUAAAGAUCUCUACAUGAUGCAGAUUGAGGUGACUACCAAGAAUGCUGGGAGCAUGCUGGCUAGUUCGAUGGUACAACCCACCUUGGUAGAGAAAAUAAAGGCUGCCCAACAGAUAGAUGUACAGAUGUGUAAGCUCAAGAAAGAUGCAGAAAGAGGGUUGCGACCCGAACUCGGGAUUCACCCAGAUAGUACUCUACGAUUUGGGAGUAGACUGUGUGUACCAAAAGAUGCUGACUUAAAGAAAGAGAUUUUGGAGGAAGCUCACCAAUCCCAUUUCUCUAUUCAUCCUGGUAGCACUAAGAUGUAUAGAGAUUUAAGGGAACAUUUUUGGUGGAAUGGCAUGAAAAGAGAGAUAGCCGAAUUUGUAGCUCGGUGCUUGGUAUGUCAGUAAGUGAAAGCUGAACACCAAAGACCUGCAGGAUUGUUGGAGCCAUUGGAGAUACCAGAAUGGAAAUAGGAACAUAUCACCAUGGACUUCGUUAUUGGGCUUCCCAAGACAGUCAAGAAAAAUGAUGCAGUGUAGGUGAUUGUUGAUCGCCUCACAAAGUCAGCUCACUUUUUACCCUUUAGGGUUGGCACUUCACUUGAUAGGCUGGCGCAGAGGUACAUUGAUGAGAUCGUGCGCCUACAUGGGGUACCGGUAAGCAUUAUAUCUGAUCGGGACCCACGAUUUGUAUCUAGAUUCUGGAGAAGUUUUCAAGAUGCUAUGGGUACUGAAUUGAGGCUUAGCACUUCUUACCACCCUCAAACCGAUGGUCAGUCAGAAAGGACGAUCCAAACCUUAGAGGAUAUGCUGAGGACAUGUACAGUUAAUCUUGGAGGUUGCUGGGAUAAUCAUAUACCCUUGGUAGAGUUUGCCUAUAAUAAUAGUUAUCAUUCUAGCAUCAAGAUGGCACCAUAUGAAGCUCUUUAUGGGAGGAAGUGCAGGUCUCCUCUACAUUGGGAUGAUGUUGGAGAAAAGAAGUUAUUGGGUCCAGAAUUAGUGCAGAAUGCCAGGGAGAGAAUCUUGUUGAUCAGGGAAAGACUCAAGGCAGCUCAGAAUAGACAAAAGAGUUGGGCAGAUAAAAAGAGGAGAGAAGUAGAAUUUCAAGUAGGUGAUUUUGUUUUCUUGAAGAUUUCACCCUCGAAAGGUAUCAUGAGAUUUGGGAGACAUAGUAAACUAAGUCCUCGAUACAUCGGGCCCUUUGAGAUUCUGGACAGAGUUGGGGAGGUUGCUUACAGAUUAGCCUUGCCACCCGGGCUAUCUAAAGUACACAAUGUUUUUCAAGUUUCCUUACUGAGGAAGUAUGUCUCGGAUCCCAGUCAUGGGGUACAGUAUGAGCCAUUGCAAGUUGACGAAGAUUUGACUUAUGAAGAAUUUCCUUUACGUAUUAUUGAUCGCAAGAAGCAAGUUUUGAGGCGGCGCACCAUCCCCCAUGUGAAAGUACAAUGGAGCAACCAUUCAGAAAGAGAGGCGACUUGGGAGCUUGAGGAUGAAAUGCGUGCGAGGCAUCCGCAAUUCUUCGAAGUCUCAGGUAUGUAAAUUUCGAGGACGAAAUUUUAUUUAAGGGGGGGAGAAUGUGAGGCCCAAGCCGAAGGAGAGGUCGAAAUCCUCGGCUGCACCUUCUCGAGCGUAACGGGGGCGGGAUCCGCGGCGGCCAUUUGAAUGGCCGAUGAACCCGCGCAACCGCCGCUGAAAUCGCGGCGGUGAAUGAGCAGAGCCGUUUGAAAUUUUCUCAGUAAAAUCCUCCCAUUGACCCGCAUCUGAGAUCCACCAAGCACUUCUCCUUCCCCACCCUACUCUGCCUCUAACUCCUUUCCAUCCUUCGCUGCUAGGGUUUGGAGCUCACAUCAGUGCCGCCGGAGAGAGUAGCUGCAGCUUCUCUUCGUAGCAAGGUAAACCCUAACCCUGUUUCCUUUCUACCUUAUGAUAAUGAAAUAAAAGGAAAGAAGAAGAGGAGAAAAAGGCAUACCUUUGGUCGUCAGCGCUGUCGGCUCUCAGCCACAGGUACCGUCUGGCUUCAGCCGCAUGUAUCCCCAGUCCUCGGCCGCAGCCACUACCAGUCGUCGACAGAGGCUGCAGUCGGGUCGGAGCCCUUCCCUUCUCCCUUCUGAUGGGACAAAGGGGGCGACUCUCGCCUUUUUCCCUGGGUGAAUAGAAGAAGAAAGAAAGAAAGAAAGAAGAAACAAGUAAAAAAAAAGGGAGGUGACUCACUGUGGGCGCCGGCCAUAGGCGCGGCCUGCGACUGCGGGCGUCGGAGGCCGGGGGACGCCGGCCACGGAACGCGAGNNNNNNNNNNNNNNNNNNNNNNNNNNNNNNNNNNNNNNNNNNNNNNNNNNNNNNNNNNNNNNNNNNNNNNNNNNNNNNNNNNNNNNNNNNNNNNNNNNNNNNNNNNNNNNNNNNNNNNNNNNNNNNNNNNNNNNNNNNNNNNNNNNNNNNNNNNNNNNNNNNNNNNNNNNNNNNNNNNNNNNNNNNNNNNNNNNNNNNNNNNNNNNNNNNNNNNNNNNNNNNNNNNNNNNNNNNNNNNNNNNNNNNNNNNNNNNNNNNNNNNNNNNNNNNNNNNNNNNNNNNNNNNNNNNNNNNNNNNNNNNNNNNNNNNNNNNNNNNNNNNNNNNNNNNNNNNNNNNNNNNNNNNNNNNNNNNNNNNNNNNNNNNNNNNNNNNNNNNNNNNNNNNNNNNNNNNNNNNNNNNNNNNNNNNNNNNNNNNNNNNNNNNNNNNNNNNNNNNNNNNNNNNNNNNNNNNNNNNNNNNNNNNNNNNNNNNNNNNNNNNNNNNNNNNNNNNNNNNNNNNNNNNNNNNNNNNNNNNNNNNNNNNNNNNNNNNNNNNNNNNNNNNNNNNNNNNNNNNNNNNNNNNNNNNNNNNNNNNNNNNNNNNNNNNNNNNNNNNNNNNNNNNNNNNNNNNNNNNNNNNNNNNNNNNNNNNNNNNNNNNNNNNNNNNNNNNNNNNNNNNNNNNNNNNNNNNNNNNNNNNNNNNNNNNNNNNNNNNNNNNNNNNNNNNNNNNNNNNNNNNNNNNNNNNNNNNNNNNNNNNNNNNNNNNNNNNNNNNNNNNNNNNNNNNNNNNNNNNNNNNNNNNNNNNNNNNNNNNNNNNNNNNNNNNNNNNNNNNNNNNNNNNNNNNNNNNNNNNNNNNNNNNNNNNNNNNNNNNNNNNNNNNNNNNNNNNNNNNNNNNNNNNNNNNNNNNNNNNNNNNNNNNNNNNNNNNNNNNNNNNNNNNNNNNNNNNNNNNNNNNNNNNNNNNNNNNNNNNNNNNNNNNNNNNNNNNNNNNNNNNNNNNNNNNNNNNNNNNNNNNNNNNNNNNNNNNNNNNNAUGAAAAAGAAGAAUGAUUUAUGAACUCUCAGAUAGCUAUGCUCACCUCUAGAAAUAGAGGUCAGUCGACCCCCUGGAGCUAGCAUCCAACGAAUAUGGCCCUCUGCCAACGGGUUAAAGUUGGUAACGAAUAAGAAUAAGUUAUAAAACUCGUCGACUACGAAUAUGAGCCGUCAUGGGAUUAUAGUGACCAUAGCAGCACAUCCGUCUGAGAGUAAAAUUUAUAAAGUACUGAUGAAUGGAAGCAUUUUUAUAUGACUUGCAUUAUCGUGUUUAUGAACUUGCAUGGUUGGAGCAUAUUUUGCUUUAUAACUUGUUUUGAAUAAAUUAUCUAUGAAAUGCUUUAUUUUGCUGUUAAAUUCUUCAAAUGAUGCAUUGGCAUGAAAAAAAAAAAUUAUGCUUGAUCUAAUAAGAUAGUACAUGGUUACUUACUGAGCCGCAAGCUCAUACCCCUCCUGUUGUUUUCUUUUAUUUAUUUCAGAUAAUUAAGGCGAUUAGGAGCAAAUGAAAAUUGGAGUUGAAGCAUAGUUACAGGGACUCUUAGAAGUAUCUAUGUUAAUAAGUUUGGGUUGUAAUAUUGCAAACUCAAUUAUUUGAUUUAGAUGCUCUGUACUUGCUUCUUUAUGAUUAGUCAAUAAAUUUGAUCGGAUUUGGUUUUAUUUCAUGAAAUAAAAUUGUUAUCAUGGGCUUCGUGUUAUUGUGGGCCGCAUCCUACAAUAGCACGGCCAUGUCAUGAACCGGAUCUGGGGCGCAAAAAAUCAUGUCCGUGACAUUGUGAGGCCCAAGCCGAAGGAGAGGCUAGAAUCCUCGGCUGCACCUUCUCGAGCGUAACGGGGCGGGAUCCACGGCGGCCAUAUGAAUGGCCGAUGAACCCGCGCAACCGCUGCUGAAAUCGCGGCGAUGAAUGAGCAGAGCCGUUUGAAAUUUUCUCUGUAAAAUCCCCCCAUUGACCCGCAUCUGAGAUCCACCAAGCACUUCUCCUUCACCCUAUUCUGCCUCUAACGCCUUUCCCUCCUCCGCUGCUAGGGUUUGGAGCUCGCAUCAGUGCCACAGGAGAGAGUAGCCGCAGCUUCUCUUCGUAGCAAGGUAAACCCUAACCCUGUGUCCUUUCUACCUUAUCAUAAUGAGAUAAAAGGAAAGAAGAAGAGGAGAAAAAGGCAUACGUGUGGUCGUCAGCGUUGUCGGCUCUCGGCCACAGGUACCGUCUGGCUUCAGCCGCAUGUAUCCCUAGUCCUCGGCCGCAGCCACCGCCAGCCGUUGGCGGAGGCUGCAGUCAAAAGAAGAAGAAGAAGAGGGGAAGCUUCGGGAAGGAAGAAAAAGGGAGGAGAAAAAAAGAAGAAAAGAAAGAAAAGGAAAAAUAAUAAUAAUAAUAAUAAAUAUAUAACUAAAUAAAUAGAGAAUUAAGAUAAUAGAUGUAUUUAAAUGAAUUGAAAUAACAAUAAAUAAAUUAAAUAAAAUAGAAAAUGAUGAAUGAGUGGUAAAUAAUCUGUCCUCUAUGAUGAUGAUAGGUACAAUGAAAUUGUCAUCUGGUUCUAGGGAUUCGUGAGCGAAUCAAGGUAAGUAACCCUGGCACUAAUCUUAUCACUGUUUAAUUGUAAGAAUAAAAUAAUGAAAAAUAUAUUUGGUAUGAUGUAUUUUCUUAAAAGUAGGAUCAAGCAUAUGAUUGCAUGUGAUUCAUGAGUUUGACUAAAAUGCAUCCUUCAUGAAUAUUUGAGUAUAAAUUAUGGUUAUGAUAAAUUCUAUGAAAAUGAGAUUUGUGGCAUGAUCAUGAAUUUUAUACAUUACGAUGAAUUAUGGUUAUGAUAAAUUGAAUGAAAUGAGAUUUGUGGCAUGAUCAUGAAUUUUAUACAUUACGAUGAAUUAUGGUUAUGAUAAAUUGCAUGAAAAUGAGAUUUGUGGCAUAAUCAUGAAUUUAAUACAUUACGAUGCCAUUUGUCAUUUUUCAACCUAUGUAUGAAAGUAUGAUUUAAAGAAGAAUGAUUUAUGAACUCUCAGAUAGCUAUGCCCACCUCUAGAAAUAGAGGUCAGUCGACCCCCUAGAGCUAGCAUCCAACGAAUAUGGCCCUCUGCCAACGGGUUAAAGUUGGUAACGAAUAAGAAUAAGUUAUAAAACUCGUCGACUACUAAUACGAGCCCUGUCACGGGAUUAUAGUGACCAUAGUAGCACAUCCGUCUGAGAGUAAGAUUUAUAGAGCAUUGAUGAAUGGCAGCAUUUUUAUAUGACUUGCAUUAUCGUGUUUAUGAACUUGCACGGUUGGAGCAUAUUUUGCUUUAUAACUUGUUUUGAAUAAAUUAUCUAUGAAAUGCUUUAUUUUGCUGUUAAAUUCUUCAAAUGAUGCAUUGGCAUGAAAAAAAAAAAUUAUGCUUGAUCUAAUAAGAUAGUACAUGGUUACUUACUGAGCCGCAAGCUCAUACCCCUCCUGUUGUUUUCUUUUAUUUAUUUCAGAUAAUUAAGGCGAUUAGGAGCAAAUGAAAAUUGGAGUUGAAGCAUAGUUACAGGGACUCUUAGAAGUAUCUAUGUUAAUAAUGUUGGGUUGUAAUAUUGCAAACUCAAGUAUUCAAUUUAGAUGCUUUGUACUUGCUUCUUUAUGAUUAGUCAAUAAAUUUGAUCCGAUUUAGUUUUAUUUCAUGAAAUAAAAUUGUUAUCAUGGGCUUCGUGUUAUUGUGGGCCGCAUCCUACAAUAGCACGGCCAUGUCAUGAACCGGAUCUGGGGCGCGAAAAAUCAUGUACGGAUUCGUGGCGUGACAUUGAGUGGUAUCGGAGCCGAGGACGGCUCUUGUCCGAUAGUGGGAAGGGUGUGAGGCCCAAUAGUCCAACAUCGGAAAGACUCAUUCCAGAGCCUGGGCAUAUGAGGUGGGCGUCUCCAAAUCCUGCAGACGCGUUUUGGGUGGAAAACAAAACCGGGGAGGGGUGAAGAACGCUUGCGUGAAGCUCCGAAACCGGACAAUAUCUGACAGGGGAGCUCCGUGUUUCCCCCCUCAUGUGGCUCCCAUGUGGGCACUAGGUGCCUCACGUGCUCCGCGGAGGCGGGGGCCUGACAAAUUCAAUUUGGACCAAUUAGACAAAAAAUGUAGCAGAACAGCCGACCUUAUUCUGACAAUCCACAAAGCUAUUUGAAAGAAGCAAUAUAUAAUUAUAAAUAAUUGAAAUACAUAAUUUACUAGCAAAAGGGAACUAACUAUUAAAAUAGAAAAUAAAUCUUAGGGACUUCUAUCUAUAUCCUCAAGAAAGCAUCUUGAAAUAACAAUAAGUUGCCUGACCCAUGAAAAGGCGUGAUCAAACUAUGAUUAAGGUCUGUCGUAUCGCCCCGUACCAUAUCAUACCGGAAAAAACUGAUACAAAACACAUCUUCCAGCCAGUACAAGCCCCGCACCGAGGCAUACCAACAGAUAUCGAGGUGCGUACCGCCCCGCACCGAGGCAGAUCGACCAGUACCGAGGUGCGUACCGGUCCGUACCAAGCAUACCGAGAUGAAAAUAGAGAAAAUAGAUAAGAGAAAUAUUUCGGCAUAGAAGUAUACCAUACCAAACCAAUAAAAUACCGAUACGAUACCCGAUACCGAGAUUGUGAACCUUGACUAUGAUAAUCAUUAAUAUAUCUGAUAAAGUAUGCAAAAUGACAUGCUUGUAAGUGUUCGAGGUCUAAAAGCUUCAGAGUUUAUAAAUAGUAAGAGAGGCAACUAUAAGGAGCACUGAAUGUCGAAAAACCCCAUUGCUUUUAGAGUCCUUGUAAUCAUGGUCUAUUGUGCCGGUAUUGGGCACCGGACCGGUUGGCAUGGGGAAGUACAAGACCGCGUCGUGCCAUGUCGGGCAUGUAUCAACACAGUAGAGGAGGCGGGGGAGAGGGCGAACGAGAGAGAAGAAAAGAGAGAGGAGGAGAGAGGGAGGGAGGCCGGCGGAGGCCGGCACUCGAGCAGCAGGCGGAGGCUGUGGCCGUUCUCCUGUUUCGUUCAAAACAGGGGUUCCGCCGCUAAAAAAUUUUGAAAUUUUUAAGUGAUGUUGGCAAGCCUCCGCCACCCUCCACCAACCUCCCUCCCUCUUCUUCUCCCUCCCUCCCCCGCUCGCUCUCUCUUUUCCUCUCUUUCCUUCUCCUUCUCUCCCUCCAACAACGAGUUUCAUUUUCAUUGCCGGAGCCAUACCGGUCUACAGUCGGAAUAGCUCGAUACAACUGAAACCGCCCGAUUCGGAAAGGUUCCGCCGACCCUGCUUGUAAUGCUUGUCAAAAAAUAAUAUAAUGAUCAAAUAUUACCAAUAGAAUUUACUUUUCAAAGCUACAUUGUUUACAUUCAAAUUCUUUAGUUUAAGGAUCAUUGAUGGGAUCGAUACCUCACCAAACAUUUAAUGUGAUAGAGAAAGGAGGAGAAUUCACCUUCUAUCACUUAAAGGAUUGCAAACUCUAUGCAAUUAUUAUGUAUGAAGCUUUAUUGGUCUGUACCAUGUUAAAAAGCACGAGUUAGAGCCUUCGUUUCUAUCAUUUCUGCCCUUGGUGGAAUAUGAAAUAUUUCUAUAUUAAAGCUUUACUAUUUUCUUGUUAAGAACAUGGGUAAAUUGGCAAAACACCUGGCCACAAGAUUAUGCAUGAUCUAGUUCACCCGAUCACGACUCCUCUGCCAUUCAGCCCAUGACUCCUCGGCCAUGCACGGAGAAAACAGAUUCGACUAGAUCCCACGUGAUCCCCCUGCACCACACUUUUCCUUCUCACUCUCCAUGCACACCCUGAUCCUGCCUAGCACAAAUACACACACUCUCUCUCUCACGCACAUGCAUAUAUGCACGCACAAACUCCCACUCCCCUAUGUAAUUGUUCAGUCAGAUUGUUCAAUCACAAAAUGGUAGGUCUUUUUUAUUUUCAACUAAACAAGCACUAAACAUGCAGGAUCAUAUAAGCGCACGCCUAUACAUUCAUAGAGAGCUACAGACAACAUGAAGGCCAUUACAUAUGCAUAAAGAUAAAUAUAUCCACAUAAAGAUCGCACGCAUUGAAAUUAUGAAAACCAACUAAAUGUAGCAUCUAUGCAUUUGCAGAGUUACCAUCAUGUAAUUUCAUGGUUUUUAAUUCAGUUACUAAUUCUCAAUUUGCUUAUUGCAAAAAACCUAUCUCAUUGAGCAAAUCAGAUUUGCCCUGCUAGUGGGUUGACUGGGUGGCGCACGGAUUUGGAGAGGCUAACUCAAAUUAAUUCGAAUCUCGACACAUGAUCACCACUAGCAUUGCAUUUACAUUUCAUAUCUACACCCCAAGCCAAGUGAAUACAUGAUAAAACAUUUAGGUAAAUUAGUUUGUGAUAAGACAGGAAAAAGGACUUAUAUCAAAUACAUGAAAAGAUUUGCAAUAAAAGAUCCAUAUAAAUAAAAAGAUAUAUAAUUAUGGAAGUAAAGAAUGAAAAGAAAAUGAUUUGAUGAAUCAGGUGAGUUGGACUAGGGUAUGAUCUAUAAGAAAUUGUUUCAGAAAGCAUUUUUGGAAAUUUAAGUAAUAGGACUAUCUUAAUAUUACGAGGUUAUUGCUUGUCAAAUACCAAUUGUAUUUCUUAAUGAUCAAAAGAACAAUUCUACAGAGAAAGGGUGCCACAAAAUGAAACUACUCUUACACUGUUGCCUGUGCCUGAAUCUGAAAGUUUUAUCAGUAGAAAGCUAAUUAUGAUACUGCAAAACUGAAGUCACAGUUUAUAGUAUGACUGUGGUGAUGUCAAAAUUUCUGUCAACUUAUCUAUAUUGACCAAUUAAAAAUCCAAAAGAACAAUAUAGCAAAACUUGAACAAGAAUCUAAACAAUAAAUGUUGUUCAAGUGAUGCAUUAUUUCUAAUAACAUCAUCAUUGCAACAAGUACUGCAAAUACAAGUAUACCUUCUGAUGUUCACAAAAUGAAUCUCAUAUGAGUCUUGAUUAAAGAACAAGCUAGCUGUUUAACUCUAAAAAUAGAUUUCAAGGAUAAUGAAACAAUAAGGGUUUUCAAUAAUAUGUGCUUCAGUGUGUCAAAUGUUAAAACCGUUAUGCCGACAAUUUUGUCCAGUCAAACAAGGCCAUGACAGUUUUUAAUCGGAAUGGAUAAACAUGCCUCUUGGUCAACCAAAUCGUACUAAAAUAUAUUGAUGCUUUAAUAUUGAAAAGUAGAAGUUUUUGGCACUUCAUCCCAAUUUGAAACAUUGCUUCCUAGGCAUGAGUUUCCAAAAGUAACUCAGUUUUAAUAGGUGGAUGAACAAACAUGUUACAAAACAAUAAAGAAACCCUCCCCUAAAAUCAUAGAUGUGGUACAUGAAUGUGCAUGCAGCUUACCUGAAGAAGCAUGUGUAACAGGUAAAUGAAAUCAGUUACACUUCUUACAACUGCCAAUGCAGUUGCAAAGGGCCAGUUCAGGACUAUACACUUCUGCUCCUGCAUUUGAAGAGAAAAUAACUGAAGAUGAAUAUAAAUAUAAAUUUGGAAAACAAAUAAGGCAGAAAGAUGAAAUUCAUGUAGAGAUCGUAAGAGGUGGAGAACUAAACUACAUCAUAGAAGUCAUGCCAAAUAUAACUCCCAGAAUUAAUUCAACAGGGUUAUAUAGAAAGGAUCAGGGUCCACAGACUGUCAUGAUAAUCACAUUUACAAUGUGAAACAAAGAAUCUUAGAUUAAAAUAACUAAGAAAAACAUACUUCAAAUUUUUGUACAGAUAUGACUCUCAUUAGCAUUUGCUACAAGAAAGUACACUGACAGAAUGACAGAUUGGAGCAUCCUACAAAGGUAAGUAUCACUCUAUGAUGUCUUCUUAGUGAACUCAUAGAUAACCAAGAAAAAAAUCUACAACGUAUAUAAUGUUAUCUCAAGAGUUGGAUAUGACAUCAAGGAGAUAACACAACAUAUAAUACAUAAGUCAACAUCAAGUCCUCCAUAAUUUUCCGCAAUAAUUUUCUACAAUAUAUCAUCAAUCCUAGAAUAUCUCACUACAUGUCACACUCAAUCAAAUGCAUCGGCACAACAUAUAAUACAUAAUUUUCAUUUGCCCUGGCCAAUCAAAUGAAUUGACUUGGCCAAUCAAAUGUUUUCCUUAAUACAGCUAUCAUCAAGUAAAUGAAAAAUUCAUCGGUGGAAAAAGGUAAGUAAAAGCACAUCAAGAACAAGAAACAUUUUGCCAAAAAUAUGAAGGAAAACUACACUUCUCAAGAAAAAAAAGGACAUAGUUAAGGAAGCAUGAUGAGUGACAUUAAGACAGCCAACUACUAUUAUAACAAUAAAAACUUUACAAUCUAGAAAAUGGUGAUGAAACAAAUCAUUGAGAAAGAACACUGUUGCCUAGUUGACCACUCAGCCACAAAAUCCUGUGCAAUGUGGGCUUCAAAAUGAGCUCAAAUAAGUUUAUGACUAAUCAACAAUGAUUAGGAGUUCUUGAAGCUUGCAGAACUCAGAAGUAUAGCUUGACCAUUUUACAAACGGUAAAGGUGUUAGUCACUUUCAGCAACUCCUGAACAAGCGAGCGUAAGAAUUCUAAGUUCACAAAUAUCCAAAUUUCCCUUACAAUGUUGCAAGGGCAAAAUGACCAAAUACUCCAUAAGCUAUUUGAAAUACCAAAAGGCUAUCGUAAAUAUCCGAAUUGCCCUUACAAUGUUGCAAGGGCAAAAUGGCCAAAUACUCCUUAAGCUAUUUGAAAUAUCAAAAGGCUAUCAGCAUCAUACAUGUUUCAUCAAGACUCGUUCAAAAGAUUACAACAAUUAGGCAUAAUAGAAGCCUGGAAAUGAAAGCCGAAAAAUUGAUAACUUUUAUACUGCAUGCAAACUAAGGAAACAAUAAUGUACAAAGUGCAUGAUGGACCAACAUUCUUCCUCUCAUAAUGAACUUUCGUCCAAUUCCAAAAUCACUUCAGUAUUGAGGUUCCGUAUAACCGGUUUACCAAACUUGAUAAGGGAAAAAUUGCCAUGUCACACUUGCAGGCUUCACCUGAUGCAAUUGAAGGAGCUAAGACCGCUCCAACAUAAGGUAAACAUAAAUAGCUAGCCUUCCCCAAGAGAUUCACAUCAGUUCGACUUAGCACCAAAUUGAUAUAUAGCAAAUCAAAGGUCAUAACACCAAUUUAUUCCACAUGUCCAAGAUUCCUCCCUUCACAUGCUAUAUGCAAGGACAAUGGCU
RNAcentral lists this long non-coding RNA (68259 nucleotides) under Phoenix dactylifera (date palm). RNAcentral's name for it is "long non-coding RNA (PDAC_LNC001647)". Lineage: Eukaryota; Viridiplantae; Streptophyta; Magnoliopsida; Arecales; Arecaceae. The record is from RNAcentral.